Long non-coding RNA from Loxodonta africana (African savanna elephant), 58539 nucleotides. RefSeq lists it as uncharacterized. The record is from RefSeq and is a predicted model, not a curated record. NCBI's taxonomy places the organism in Eukaryota, Metazoa, Chordata, Mammalia, Proboscidea, Elephantidae. The transcript is spliced from 2 exons.
UUCUAUGACCAGGCAGGUAUUAGGUUCCUUGUGGUUAGACCUGGUCUUCCCAGUUUCAUAUUCAAGGAUAGGAGGAACUUUCUCUCAAGCUUUAAACAGCCUGUACUCUCCCCCUGUAAGCUUAGUGAGAAAAGGAGUUAAAUUCUAUUAAUAACCGAACCAAAACCAAACCAGUUGCCACUGAGUUGAUUGCGAUGCAUGGUGACCCCAUGAGUGUUAGAGUAGGACUGUGCUCUACAGGGUUUUCAAUGGCUGAUUUUUCAGAAGUAGAGCUCCAUGCCUUUCUUCCAAGGCACCUCUGGGUGAACUUGAACCCCCAACCUUUUGGUUAGUAGCCAAGCACAUUGACUGUUUCCACCGUCUAGGGACUCCCCUAUUAAUAAAGCACCCAGUUUAUACUGCCGAUACUAAGGGCCAAAGCUUUUGCGGGCAGAGCAAUGUUCAGUGUGUGUUUUUUUCAUUGUGACUGAAAGGAGCUUAAACAUCCUGUAUUGCCUAGGCCAGCAACAUAACAGAAUAACAUAGCCUUAUUUCACUGUCCCCUUGAUUAUGCCUGGUUGUUUGACUCCUUCUUCUUUUAAUAGUUCCCAAUCAUGCCCUUGUGGUUUUAUUCUUUUCCUUCGGAGCCAGGCAUUCAGGAAAUAUUUUUCACUGAUAUCCGGUGGUUACACCGUAUGAUAAUUCCCUCCUUGGUUCAACUGCUCACACGUGCUGAGUGGCAGAUACAUCUGUUGGUGAUGAAGCUUUAGUAAGGGUUUCAGCUGCAUAUAACAGGAGGGAAUGGCGUCUUUCCUUUCUCUGGUUAUUCUUGAUUUUCAGCGUGUGCUGGUAAUGAGAUAAUUACAUAAUGAUCAGAAAGUAACUCACCAGCUCUGACUGAAGGUGCCUGAUGUCCAUCACCACAUAAUAACAGGUAUUAUGAGGAGACGCGGUUGCCUGGAUGUGAACAACUGCUGAAUUUCAAGCUCUAGCCUGCUGGGUAGCAUGCCACCGGAACACCCAGCCAAAAUGGAAGAGAAGCCUAGAACUUAAAGAGCUUGCUGGCUUAUGGAAAUGUUUUACCAACCUGAUCUCUCUUUUGAAGUGAUGGGUAAUGUAGUAUUUUUGGUUAAUACAAAUUUACGUAGCAUUAAUGGUUUCUUUUGGAGAGGGAUUUGCUUAUAGAGGAGAAAUUGCUUAUGUCCCUGAAGCUUGUGCUUAUAUUUCGAAAGCAUGCUAAACAAACUCUUUGCCCUUGAGUCAAUUCUGACACAUAGUGAUCCUAUAGGACAGAGUAGAAAUGCUACAUAGGGUUUCCAAGGAGCAGUUGGUGGAUUCGAACUGCCAACCUUUUGGUUAGCAGCUGAACUCUUAAGCAUAGGAUGUUUUUGUGGUACAGAAUGACAGAGGAGAGAUGGGAUCUUUAUGCUACUUCCCUGUUCAUAUUCCAGGGACUUGGGGGUUUUCCUUUGUACUAUCCAUGAACCUAAUUUAAUAUUAAGAGAGUGACCAUUUAACUGUGUAUAUAAACAAAGAGGCCCCCUACAUUCUGCACUGUGACAUAUAAGUGCAGUUACCUCUGGCCACUGAGUGAGAUGCUGAGGUAUCUCCAGGUACACACCACCUCUGUCUGUGUGGAAGGGCCAGUGGCAGAUAUUCAGUCUUCCUUUAUCCAGUCAGAGUGAAGCCAGCUUGAAAUGAUAGUUUCACUAUCUCAGAUUUGGAUGUAAGAAACAUUUCCCUUCAGGUUUUCUCAGACAGCCUGACUAAUUGGGUUGUUUUAGGGUUUGGUUUCUGUGGUACCGAAGUCAAGAAAAAGACCCUGACUGGUGUGUAUUUGAAAUUCAGGAGGCCUUUUCCUAGUGCCUGGAUGAUUAAAUUUGCCUCUGUGUAGGGGUGACCAGUACCCUCCUGCUUCCUGUCUCGAGCUGCCUUGCUCAGUGCCUCCCCCUCCACUGGAUUACUUCCUUUCAUGCUGAAUUAAUGUCUUACCCUCUUUGCUUCUUCAUUCUGUCUCUUCUCCACUCACUGUAGUCUGUACACCCCAACCCUCCAUGGAAACUUCUGUCUCCAAGGUUAUCACAGCUCAACCCAACCCAACCAAACCAACUAAAUCUGUUACCAUUGAGCCAAUUCCAAGGGCCACUUUGUCAUACUUAUGUUGUUGAUUCUCAAGCCUCCAUUUCUAGCCCAGAUCUCUUUCCUGAGCUCUGGUUUCUGUAAUCAGCUGCUCCCUGGAUGUCCUUAGAUAUGCAAACCCAGCAUAUCCCAGAGUGAACUCUUCACUGGCAUCCUCCCUCUUCUCCCCACAUCUCUUUCCCCUCCUAAGUUCUCCAUCUCUGCAAAUGGCCUUAUCCCUUCUCAUUUUAAUUGCCCAAGCCAAAGACCAGUUAAUAAUUUGACUUCUUUCUGUCCCUCUCAACGAAUCUGACUGCCCAUGCUCCCCAAGUCUGAUUAAUGCUGCUUCUUGCGUUUCAUUUUAAACUUGUUGAAUUUAUUCAUCAACAUUGACCUUCUCCCACUCUCAUACUAUGAGUCCUAAUUAUCUCUUCCUUGGAUUUCUCCAACAGCAUCUUUGCUGGUCUCACCUCCUUUAGUUUUGGCCCCUUUCCACUUUAUUUUCCACAAUGGACCCAAACUGGUUUUUCUAAAGUAUAAAUACGGUCAUGUUACUCCUCUGUUUAAAAUCCAUCAGGAACUUCCUAUAACCUGUGAAGUUUGAACUGCUCAUGUGUCAUUUAAGUAGAACAACCUUGUAUCUUGUUCAUCUGGGACAGUCCCAGUUUAUACCUGAUUUCUGAGUACAAACAUUUCACUCUUAAACAUGUCCUGGUUGGAUGAUAAAUUAUAUGGUUCCCGUAGUUAUAAGGCCGUUCAAGAUCUGCGACCUCCCAUCCCAUCCCUCAGCCUCUUAUUUAUUUUUAUUAGUGGCAAAUAUAUAUGUAACAAAACAUUGGCCAUUUCCACAGUCUUCACAUGUAUAGUUCAGUGACAUUAACUAUGUUCAUCAUGUUAUUCAACCGUCACUCUUCCCGUUCCCAAUUUUUUCAUCAGCCUUAACAGAAGCUCAGUGUUAACUUCUGCCCUCCCCGUCACACUCUGCUUCAGCCACACUGAACUGCUAUUUGCAGACUUGGGACUGUGCCAUGUUUUCUCUUUUACCUCCAGCGUUCGCACAUAUGGGUCCAUGCCUGAAAUCUGACCCACUGGCCCCUCUCUCUGGCUAGUCCCUUGUGAUCCUCCUGGCUUCCUCAUGGAUUUCACUUCUUCCUGGAAACCUGCCCUCUUCUAGAUAAGGGGCCAUGCUCCUAUAUGCUCCCCUAGUAGUCUGUUCUUAGCUCUAAACCCAACCCGGUGCUGUCGAGUUGAUUCCAGCUCAUAGCAACCCUAUAGGACAGAGUAGAACUGCCCCACAGAGUUUCCAAGGAGUGCCUGGCGGAUUCGAACUGCCAACCCUUUGGCUAGCAGCUGUAGCACUUAACUAUUACGCCACCAGGGUUUCCUUCUUAAGAAAUAGAUGAACAAACAAGCAAUUAUAAUACAAGCCAAUAAAUGGUUCUUAGCUCUGAGUAUUGUAUUAUAUUGUAUUAUAAUUGCUUGUUUGUUCAUCUGCUUCUUCAACUGGAUUCUAAUCUCCUUGAGCGUAAAGACUAUGUCUUAUUCACUGCCCUUUCUCUCAGGGUUAGCACAUGGUAAAUGUUUGAUAAAUAUUUGUUGAACAAGUAAGUAAAUAGGCAAGGUAAAAGUAGGAUUCCUUUCAAACAAAGAGUUAUAGUUCAUCAAUCAUCCCAGUUCAAAUAUGGUGACAGGAAGACUUUAAAAUCCUGCACUGGGAACAUUUUUUGAGUGUGUUGGUGGAAGAACUGAGAGUACAGACUAGGAAAAUUCUCAUCCUGCUAUUAAAUAAUUUAGGUUCACUGUGAUUGUACUGGAGAACAGCCCAGGCCAGGUAUACGUCACCCCUUUAACAUUAGCUAACUUCAGCUGAUACUAGUAUUAUUUUACAAUUUCCUCUUUGGUAUACUGUUCAUGGAAAGCUGUUAUUUGGAGCACUGCAACGAUUCCUCUUUAAUGAAACAUCUUGGAGCUGUGGAAUAUUUAGAUCUGAUGUGGAGUCAGCCUCCUGACACCAAGAAGGCACUUUACCUUGCUCAGUACUUGCUUGUCGAGGCUGCUGUGUUUUUGCCGCAAAGGUUUUUCAAGGCUGCUGGGCAUCCCUAGUGUUCAGACACGGUCCCUGCAGGAAAGAGAACUUGCUCCAGAUGGUUCAAAUGGAGAGACUUUAACGGAGGGGCUACUUAGGUACAGAGGUGUGGGUAGGGUUAAGGGAUGUUCAGACACCAAAAGGUUAGCAACAGCAGGAAACCGUUACCACCCUGAGGCUAAAGAGCCAGGGGAGGAGCCCAGAGAGCCCUGGAGUUCUGAAAGAAUGGUUGCCUGCCAUUGGGGGAUACAGCCAUUGUUAGAGCCUCUACCAAAGCACAGAGAGAAUAGGGAAGAAAUACUCUGACCUUUUUCUCCUCUUGCCCUUUGCUCUCAUGAUGGUGUCUCCACUGCCCAACCCUGACCAAGGGAGCCUGGGUGAUGCCGCCUGCUAAGGAUGGUGUCUUAGUUAUCUCCUGCUGCUAUAACAGAAAUACCAUAAGGGGAUGGCUUUAACAAACAGACGUUUAUUUUCUAACAGUUUAGGAGGCUGGAAGUUCAAAUUCAGGAUGCUGAUUCUAGGGGAAGCCUUUCUGUCUCUGUUGGCUGUGGAGGAAGGUGUUUGUUUUCAGCUUCUCUUCCUUGGUUCUUUGGUGAUCUUCAAGUGUUGUGACAUCUGUCUUUCCCCCAUCUCUGCUUGCUUCUCUGUGCCUAAUCUGCACAUUUUAUAUCUUGAAGGUGAUUGGCAUAAGACAUACCCUAUGCCAAUAUGGCCUUAUUAACAAAAUAAAGAAAACCCUAUUCCCCAAUGCGAUUACACAAGUAUAGGGGUUAGGAUUUAUAACACGUAUUUUUGGGAGGCACAAUUCAAGCCAUAACAGACAGCUUUCCUGACAGAGCAGGGUGGGGGAGGGUGGAAAAAUAGAUCUGGAAGGGCAGAGAAUAACCAACAUCCUGGUUCUGUCUUUCCCCUGGCAAUCUUGGAGGUCAGUAUUCUGUUCCCCUUCAUUUGGUUUCAUGCAUUUUACUCCAGGGGAAAUGUCACAGGGCUAGAAAUAUUAUACCACUCUAGCUUUACCGAACCUACUCUUUCCUGACAGGAGAGUGCUGGGUUGUGCCCAACCUGCUCAGAAUCUUCUCUUAGUUUGUUUUCUUUUCUCUGCUCUUCUUUUUAUGGUUUUAUUGUGGUAAAAAUAUGUAUAACAAAACAUUUGCCAAUUCAUCAUUUUUUACAUGUCUAACUCAGUGACAUUGGUUAACAUUCAUCACGUCGUGUAACCAUCACCACUGUUUCCAAGUUAUUCCAACACCAUUAACAGAAAGUCAGUGCCCUAACCUAAGGCUCCCCUUUUGUCCCCCACUCCAAUCCUGGUAGCCACCGGUAAACUUUGGUAUCUAUACAUUUGCCUGUUUUAGAUAUUUCAUAUAAUUGAGAUCAUACAAUAUUUGUCCUUUUGUGACUUAUUUCACUCAGUGUAAUGUUUUCAGUGUUCAUUCAUGUUGUAGCAUGUAUCAGGACUUCAUUUCUCUUUAUGGCACAGUGAUAUUCCAUUGUAUGGAUAUACCACAUUUUGUUUAUCCAUUCAUCUGUUGAUGGACAUUUAAUUGUUUCUUUUUGCUGGCUUUGCUUUCUUGAGCCCUCUUGCCUAGGCUCUUUAUUUGUGAACUAGACUGAGAGUCUUUACACCACUGAAAUUAAACACUCAUUAAAUGCUCACAUCUCAAAUUCUUUCUCAUCAAAGUUUCUUUCUUAUCCCACUUUCAAAAUUCUACCUUAUAUUAUUCCUCAGAUGUGUCCAUUUCUCUCUGAUCUAUACUACCACUCUCCUAUUACAAGCCAUCAUCUUUUCUCCCCUGGGUGGAUACAAUAGCUUCCCAGUGGUUCUCCUCCCUUCCAUUUUUGUCUUUCUCCGAUUUGGCCUCUCCACAGGAGUCAGUGUCAUCUGGGAAAAUAGCAGUCAGAUCAUGGUACUCUGCUGUUUCAAAGCUUCCAUUAGCUUUCUCUUGCACUCGAAAUACAAUCCAACUUCCUUUCUGAAAGGUCAAAGGUGAUGCGGCCUUGACCCACCUCUCUAUACCCACUCUUAUCUGUUACCGCUACGCCUGUCUCACUACCCCCUUCAGCGGCCCUGGCUUCCAUUGGGUUCCUCCAGAGCCCCAAGCCCAUUCCAAUCUCAGAGCCUUGUGCAUCCUGUUUCCUCUUUUCUAACUAUGCCUUCUCCCCCAUCCCUCACCGCUCUCUUUGCCUAGUUGGCCUCUUCUCAUACUUUAGCUUUCAGGUUAAAUGUCACCACCUUAGAGCAUUCUUUGCAGACCAUCCCAUCUCGUACUUGUGCUCAUAACACCCUGUGGCUCCACACAUCCAUCUUUGUGUGCCCGGCACUUAGCAGCACAGUGCUUGGCAAGCAGUCGGCCUAAGUUCAGGCUCGAGCAAGAUAUAACUGAUGACAGGUGCAUUUGGAAGACUGGGCCACACGAAGUUGCCUCUUGCAGUAGCAUUUUCUUGGAUAUUUUAUUUACGAUGAAUUCCUGGACUGCAUGCAUGAAUGUGUACAUUUAUUUAGUUUACUUGUUUAGCAUCCCAUGGGCUACAUGGGUCGAGUGAACUCAGUUCUUAAAACAACACUUCACCACACCCAGAACUUGCGUGGCAGUGGGUCACCCACUCCUUUUGUUUAGUCUCCCACAUUCUAGCCUGCUUGUUUCCUUUUUUUCCCCCUGCCUUCUAACUUCCUUUGCUUCAUUUUCAUUGUCGUACAUAAUGAUGAGAGAAUACAUACACCAUUUCUCUGUCACUCUUCUCUCUUGGACAGGAGUCAGUAGCCAGUACAAUUGUAGAAAACCCUUAUUAUUUCAUAUCCUGCUUUAUUGGAAUUUGUGUGCAUUUAGAUAGCACUAAGCUGAUGGUGAUUCAGUGGUAGAAUUCUCACCACUGAACCCAUACAGGAGACCCAGGUUCGAUUCCCAGCCAAUGCACCUAAUGUGUAGCCAACACCCAUCUGUCAGUGGAGGCUUGCAUGUUGCUGUGAGGUUGAACAAGCUUCAGCAGAGUUUCCAGACUAAGACUAGGAAGAAAGGUCUGGUGAUCUGCUUCCAAAAAUCAGCCAAUGAAAACCCUAUGGAUUACAAUGAUCCUAUCCACAACCUUUUGAGGGGAUGGCUCAGGACUGGGCAGCGAUUUGUUCUGUUGUAUGGGGUUGCCAUGAAUCUGGGUUGACUCCCUGGGAGCUAACAACAACAAGUUGGUGUUGCUUUCUCUCUCCAGGAAGAGAGGUAUUGCUCUGCAAAGCAAUAUGAUAAAUAAGCGUCCUAGGGAAAGACAUCGGCUCUCUAAGAGGCACUUGCCACCCUUUGUAGGUGGCUCAUGAGGAAUAAGUCUAUUAUUAGUGCAACAGCUUGGCAGCGACCUGUAGCCCUGAGUAUUUAUUUCUGAUGAACUUGAAAAGGAUCAGUGUGCUCGAGAAUACCUAGAGCUUUCACUAAAUCAGAUUAACCUUUACCCCAAAUCAUUUGAAUUAAUCACACAACUUUUCUCUUAUACCUGCCUUGUGCUUUAUUGGAGAAUGGGGCAGUGCAUUGCAGAUUUUGCUGUUGAGGAAACCGAGGCCCCAGAGCUAAACAGACUAUGAAAGACCAGACACAUGCUUUGUGGUUGAGCCACAGCUAGAAUCCAGGUGCCUUAAGUGUUUGGUUUCUCUCUGGGGCUUUUCUUUCCCUUAUUUUUGUGCCCUAAGUGUGGUUAAUAUUUUAAAAUGCUCUUAUUGGUUUUUGAAUAACAAAUUAGGAGAAUAACAAAUAACAAAAACAAAUUAGGAGGUGGCAUCAUUUUCUUAUUUUUUUCUUUUAUGCUUCUUCUACCUUGUUCUUAUGGCCUUGUUAUUGUACAGAGAGGAAGAAAAAAUUAAAACAAUCAACUAAAAUGUUAAAAGCAGUUUAGUGGGAAAGUUAAUCAAAUACACAUCUCACCUCUACAUAUAUGCCUUUUGGAGCCUGAAGCUGUUGUUCACAGCUACUCUGUAAUCCCUGGUUAUUGAGAGCAAGGGUAGAAACUGAGAUCAGCUCUUAGCUCAUUUCUAGCCAAAUGCGAUGCAGUUGAGUGGCUAGAAUGGAGCCAGGGCAUACAGUUGAGUCUGGAUGAUCUUGAGGCUGUGAUCAUUCUGUGUCUGAGGUAUGAGUAGAUUUAGAAAGGAGUAGACAGAGAGAUGAGGGGAGGCUGAUUCUCGGGCUCCCGCAAGAGAAUCAGUUAUUCAAGUACUCUAUCAAGAGAUAAUAAAUGAUAUCGCCACUUCCCCAAGGAAUAAUUUGUAUAAAAGAUACACUGUUAUUGGGAGUUGCUACCAAGUUGACUCCAACUCAUGGCGACCCUGUGUACAACAGAAUGAAACAUCGCCCAGUCCUGUACCAUCUUCACGAUCGUUGGCAUGUUUGAGUCCAUUGUUGCGGCUAUUGUGUAGUGCCUUCCAACCUAGGGGGCUCAUUUUCCAGAACUUUUAUAUAGGACAGUAUUCUGUUGUGAUCCGUAGGGUUUUCAGUGACUGAUUUUUCCGAAGUAGAUUGCCAAGCCUUUCUUUCUAGUCUGUCCUAGUCUGGAUGUUCCACUGAAACCUUUCUACCACGGGUGACCCUGCUGGUAUUCAAAAUACUGGUGGCAUAGCUUCCAGCAUCACAGCAACGUGCAAGCAGUCACAGUCCGAUAAGCUGACAGAUAGGCGGUAGAAAAGGUAUAUGCAAACACAGGAAAAACAUGAUGAUCUUGCUAGACCCCAGCCUGUCUAGUGAGGAGCAACUGAGGAGCAGGUGAGUCGGGAUGAGAGGGCUCUCUCUUAUUCCAGGGGUCGGUGAGAUUCAGAAAUGUGUAGUCAGCUUUGUAAGGUUCCUCAUCUUUGCUUGCAUGACCAGCUCUUGACUUGUUAGCUUCUUUUCACUUCCCUGAAGGGACUACAUAGGAAAGUUAAAAGUGGUGUGCAUUCAACUUUUUGAUGUUACAUUUUAAGAUUUACAAAUUCUUCACUUCCUCGAGGAUUUGGGGACGUUCUCUUUAAUCUCUUACAGCUCUGGGAAGUUUGUUUUUUUUUGCUAUUAACUUUCCUUUCAGCCAUGUGUUGGGGCCUGGAGAGUCAGAGCAUACAUGGGAAAAGACAAUAAUAAGAAGGCUUGGCUGUGUCUCCUUGAGCAGAGUUAGCUGUGGUGAAUCUUUUGAUUUGGCAUUACACGUUGGGAAGAAGGAUUUUAAGGGCGAUGGAAAAAGUUGAAAAUGGGUAAUGAUGAUGGUUGAACAACAUGAUGAACAUAAUUAAUGUCACUGAAUUGCACACGUGAACGAUGUUGAAAUAGCAAAUUUAUGUAUAUGUGUGCAUGUGUACAUAUGUAUAUACACAUACACAUAUAUAUACACAUAACAAUAAAAUUGAUAAUUAUAGAAAAAAGCCCAGGAUUUUGGAUAAAUCUAGCGAACGAGGAUUUCCAGAUUGUGCAGGCUCUUUGGAAACAUUGGGUAACGUUUCUCCUGGGGCCUGUGAGCUUUUCUUCGCCUUUGGUGAUGGUGACAGGGAGAGUGGGAGCCGUUUGGCCCACAGAGGUGGACUGGAACUUGCCUGUGGCUAUGGAUCUGGAAGAGGUUUGCCCAAUUCUGUGAGGCUGUGAUUCUGGCAUUGUCUUCCAUUAGCCUCACCUUCAUUUGCAGGCAACUCUGUGAAUGAUUCCAGAGUUCAUUUUUCUACUCUGUGUUCAAAUGUGGCAGGUUCAACUGUGAGGCUGAGGUCAGAUUUGAAGCCUGUUACUUUCCCUCCAAAGUGUGAUUUGUGAAUGAAUGAAUGAAUGGUGUCAGGGCACAAGCAUUUGCCUCUGCUGCCAGAGAUGACAGUCCUCCUGGUCCUUGAAGGCUCCCCUUGUCCAGCCUUCUUGGAGCCUUGUCAGCCUGUGGUCUGCUGCUUACUGGGGCUGCCCAUGCUUGGCACUCCUGGGAGCCCAGAUUUCAUCCAGCUGCUCCUCCCAAGAUGGUGACUGUUUGCAAUCGGAGCUUCUGCAGAGCAGGGGGAGUCCCUUUGGGAGAGUCUUGUUCAAGGUCCACAGAAUUCAAGUAAGUACAAAUGCUAUGUAGGGAUUUAACAGUCCCUGAAUUAUCUGACUGAAGAUAACUGAAAAGAACCACAGGAUGUGCUCAGAUGUAUUCUCAGGGUAUGGGGGCAGAUGUGACGUGAAUUACUUCAUACCACCAGAGAACAACCAAUAAACCACACACCAGGUUUCUUCUCAACCAGUCUCAGAAUUACCCUUUUUUAUGCUGUUCUUUUAGAAAUUAGGGGAAUAUAGGGCUCCCCUAGUCUUCCAACUGAAAACAUUUUCUGCCCUGGGAUACUUUUAUGCCUAACACUUUCUUGGAGAUUUGCUGAUUUUUCUCUGCAUUACCAAAUGCCCUUCUGCUGUCUACAGGACUUAAUUACCAACUAUUGAUAUUUUUGUUUUUGCCCUCAUUUCCUGCUCCAGGUGGAUAGUAUUUUUUUCUCAGAUUAAAGGUUCUGAUCUUUUAUAUUUGCUUUUUAAAACAAAAUAUUCUAGACCUUUUUAUAGCCAUCUCCAGUUUUGCUUUGUUAUUUAGUCAGCAAAAGAAGGAUAAAAUUGGACUAAGGAAAGCUGAAUCUGACAAUUACAAUGCAUGGAAUUUUGGAGCAGUUGUUCAGGAUUCACUUGAUUUGAAGGGAUCUGGGAUCAUAUUGUUGGUAUCUCCCCAAAAUGCUGUACAUGUGGCUAUCCUGAAAGCUGGCACUUGGUAUGUAUUUGCUGAAUGGAGAUCACAGAAAAGAAGGGAAAAUAGGGUCAUGGAUUCAGAAUAUUUGUGCAGUAACAUGUUGAUGAACCUGCAAAAUAGCAAAUGCUUCAGGGUCUGCCCCUUACAUCUCUCAGCUCUGUGUCUUCUAGGGUGCCACAACUUGGUAAAACCUCACCUCGUGCAGGGUUGUGUUGAGAACAUCAACAUAAAUGGGAAGAACUAACUGUCCCAGUUGGGAAGGGUCUUAGGCUCCCAAAUGCUUCCUCUUGUCUACGUUUGGUUGGAUCUACAAGUGUUGCUUCUGAAGCCUGAAUGACCCCUUGAGUUUUCAGUAUCAUUCGUACCUUUGUGUAAUGGGAAGAGAAACUGGGUGUCCCUCUUUUACAAGGUGAAGGGUUGGAUGAUGUGAGACCCAAGGUCCCUUCUGGUGUUAAGAUUUCUUGAUUGUACUUGAGCCUGAUCUCUACUUGGAGGACGAUAACACUCAAGGUUCCAGAAUUUUGAGUGGGAUCAAGAAGUGUAAGAGGAAGCUUGGGAGUGCUUUAGCCUAGGUAAGGUGGGGCAUGAGGGCACUAAGUUUCUGGAUGGCAGGGGAGAGCAGCCAGUGGUUCGGAAAGAGGGGUGAGGAUGACAAGGGCAGGUUUUGCCUCCUUUUGAGAUUUAGCCUCGUUAACAGGCCAGGUGAGAUUUGGGAGGCUGCCAACCUCAAUUUUUUCUCAGUUCAACUGAUUCUCCCCAGUUAGAGUUUAUCCUGGCUGCUCUUGGAUGACCCCUCUUUCCAGUGGUUUAUACUAUUAGGGCACUUACAGUUUCGAACUCCUUGUUUUUAAUUCCUUGUUUUGGGCUGUGACCUUUCUCUGAGUCAUGAGUGCCUGGAAUCUAUCCAUAAAACUGGGCUUUUCAACAGCCUUUUUCUUAUGGAGGCCUUGGUAGACAGAGUGCAUUUUUUUUUCCCAUCAACUUUGUCUUCCUUGUAUGCAGCUGGUACCUGAAUCUCAGUGGCUUUUCCUUCAGUCCUUGGGACCUGACCUAAGCUGGGGCCAUUCAUCUUAGCAAACCCUUAGACUUCCAAAGAUCUAGAAUAAUAUUGACUAUUUUUGUAAAUGCCAAUAGAUCAAAAGCCCUUACUUUUCUAUUGCUUUCUUACCUUGAGUAACCAGUCCUAAAAUUUUUCUAUUGCAAACAGUCUUUAGAAAGAAGUAUUUCUCAAAUUGUUGUUGGUAGUAGAGUCAUGGUAUAAAGAGUGUGUGGAAUUUGGAGUCAGACACACGCCUUGAUUCGUGACUUCUGUCAAGUUGCUCAACCUUUUUGACUCUCAUCUGCAAAAUGGGAGUCUUUGAAGAUUGUGAGGUUUAGUGAUAAUGUGUAUGAAGGGCCUGGCACUGAGCCUAGGUUAUUGUGUUCAAUAAGUGGCCACUAUUUUAAUUAUCAGGAACCAGCAACAUGGCUAGAUCUAGUAAAAAUUGUGGGUAGGCUGUCUCCUUGGCUUAUGUAUUGUAGUCAAGGUUGUUCUUCCAGCUAACUGUGAGCCCUCAUCACUGGCCUAUAAUCAGCUGGUGGUUUGAGAGGUAGUAGCAUAACAGGUGAUUACUUGCGGAUUCCAAAGAUUUAAUGCUGUAAAUUAACAAAUAUCUAUCCGUAAUUUAAAAGUUAAAAAAUUUCUUGAGAUAUUCUCAAGCCUAUUAAAUGUACCAUGAAAUAUAUUUAAAUAUAUAAACUCUAGUGUACCAAGUAAUGCUCCCAAAAUACUCAGUGUUACCCCAGACACCUUAAUCAUAUUGGUCUGUCAAGUAUUCUGAGACUUGAAGGAUCUGGGGAAGUUCAGUUUUGAAGAGGCUGACCUGAAGCAUGACCAUAAGCUUCAUGUAUAAGGGUUAUGGGGCAGGGGCAGCCUUGUUCAAUUAUCCAAGAAGAGUCAGGAGGGGAAAGAGACCAGGUGGCCCAGGAAGAACCAGGAGGGGAGAGUGACUGUGUGGCCCAGGAGGAACCAGGAGGGGAGAGAGACCAGGUAGCCCAGGAGAACCAGGAGCGGAGAGUGACCAGGUAGCCCAGGAGGAACCAGAGGGGUAGAGUGACGAGGUGGCCCAGGAGGCACCAGGAGGGGAGGAUGACUAGGUGGCCCAGGAGGCACCAGGAGGGGAGGAUGACUAGGUGGCCCAGGAGGACUCAGGAGGGGAGAGAGACCAGGUGGCCCAGGAGAAACCAGGGUGGGGGGUGAUGAGGGGUGGAGAGUGGUCAGGUGGCCCAGGAAGAACCAGGAAGGGAGAGUGACCAGGCAGCCCAGGAGGAAUCAGGAGGGGAGAUUGACCAGGUGGCAGAUUGCAGUCCAUAUACAAAGAAGCCCUGUUAACACUGACAGCACUUUAAGCUUAGCUUUCCAAGCUGAGCUCUAGGUCCUCUGCUUGUUUCUUCUUUCUCUCUCCUUACAUGCUCAGCACCUUGACAGAGUCUUCAUUUGUAUUGAUUACAGGGCUGGGAUUGUUUUGCAAGGGGCUCCUGUAGAUUGUCAUCUUUUUGGAAGAGGUUGGAGUUCCUGUUACCUCCAGGCAAUAUGGUGUCUGUCCGGUGAACCCUGCUCACCGCACCUCUGCCCAGGUUGGGGUUGGCAGGUUAAAGAGUCCAGGAGAUGAGACCUGCUCUGUGCCUGACAGCUGUUUGAGGUGAUUAGCGAAAUCAGGGCUCUGCGAGUGAGGGGUAGUAAUACUGUUCAGGCCCCCCUGCUGAUUGUCAUCCCUCUUAACAUUUUGAUCCAAAAUUCAAAACCUGUUGCCGUUAAGUCGAUCCUGACUCCUGAUGACCCUGUGUUCUUCAGAGUAGGACUACGCUCCAUAGGGUUUUCAGUGAUUGUUAUCUUAUGGAAGUAGGUCACCAGACCUUUCUUCCAUGGUGUUGCUGAGUGGACUCAAACUGCCAACCUUUUGGUUAGUAGCUGAGUGCAACUGUUUGUACGACUCUGGGGCUCUUUAGUACUAGCUGGGAAUUCUAACAGGCUGAAGACCUAUUUGGAGUUCCUGGGUGGUGCAUACGGUUAACGUGCUUGGCUGAAAACCAAGAGGUUGGAGGUCGGAGUCCACGCAGAGGCUCCUCAGAAAAGAGGCCUGGUGAUUUACUUCCAAAAAAUCAGCCACUGAAAACCCUUGGGAGCACAGUUCUACUCUGACAUACAUGGCGUUUCCUUAAGUCAGAAUCCACUCCAUGGCAGCUAUUUUGGUCUUUUUUGGAAAGAUUAAUUUGUUUUCAUUUUUUAAUGGUUGAAGGAUGCAGGACACCUGUAGCUGUGGAGUAUUUUCAGAGGUAUCAGGGAAUGCAAACGUUUUAUAACUCAGUGGGUGAGCUCUGUUGAAUCCUGGCAAAACCCCUUCUCAUUGUCUUUGUGUUUCUAAUUCAGCGUGAUCCCUCACAGGCCCCAGUGAAUGUUUAAAUAAAUGAGUGAGUAAAUCUAUGCAUGCUCCUUUACAGAGUAUGGGAAAGAAACCAGCAAGAGGGUCAUCUGGUCUUAGAGCGCAUUGAGUUUUAUAAAUGAGGAGGAUGGUGACAGACUGGGCUCCCAAACCAAGAUGCCUGAAUCUUAGGCAUUGGACCUGCCUGUCUUGACUGCUUGCAGGUAAACAGCCUGAGUUGGUAGUGUUCUUCCUUUGCCCAGACUGGGAAAGAAGCCUGUCUGUGGGGGUGGGUAAGAGACUCUUAGUGCCAUUGGCUCCCUAAGACCCUUGUUCACCCAUGACUUAGGCUUGUCCUUAGCCUGAAUGCUUCGCCAGGUCAUUGGUCUUUCCACAGUUAAGUGCUUGGCACAUGCCCAGCGGUUGUUUCUGGUUUCCGAGGCCAGGCUAGGGGUCAUUGGCCAUGGAGUCUCAAAUCUGCAUUGAACCUAAUGAUUGCUGGAUGCUUCCUCCUCACAUCCACAGGAAGCUGCACACUGCCUCUCAGGGACUGUUUGGAUGAAGACUUUUUCAAGGAGGAUACAGGACAGCGACCUUGGAAGAAUAUCUAGGAAGUUGGUCAGAGGGAUGUUAUUGAGAAUUUUGUGGAGGCUUGCUAAUUUUUUUCUUUCUUGAAAGCAAGAGCAACUUUUGAUUUCUGUGAGGUUUCUCCUCACUGGUGGUGAUGAGGUGGCAGUGAAGUCUUUGGGGCAUGGAUGGGUUGUUUCCCUCCUGGUGGGAAGAGGGUGCCUGAAGUUUCUAAUCUCCGAAGCCCAGGAGCUGUUAUUAGCCCUUCACAGACCUCUCCUGAGGAAGCCCAUCUCCUGACAGCAGAGCUCUGUGGGGCAUCUGUGUGGGUGCAUUGGCAUUAGAACUUGAGGUAGAAUCCUUGAGACCAAGGGUUGGGUCUCUUUUCAGGAUCUGUGAUAUUUACCAGAGCUUAGUGGGCCAUUCACAAAAUGAGUAUCAAGUCCUCAGGUGUCGAGGGUCCCCAAGACCACCCUCAGGUUCGAUUAUUCACCAGGAGGACUCACUGAUUACCUGUUGCCAUCGAGUGGAUUCCAACUCAUAGUGACCCUAUAGGACAGAGUAGAACUGAACUGCCCCAUAGAGUUUCCAAGGAGUGCCUGGUGGAUUUGAACUGCUGACCUUUUGCUUGCAGCCAUAGCACUUAACCACUACACCACCAGGGUUUCUGGAGGACUUGCGGGACUCAGCAUGUAGUCAUACUCAUGGCUAUGAUUUAUUACAGUGAAAGGUUACAGGGCAAAACCUGCAAAGGGAAAAAGCACAUGGGAUGAAGCCCAGAGGAAGCAAGGCUCAAGCUCCCAAAGAUCCUCUCCCAGUGGAGUCACACAGGAUGUGCUUAAUUUGCCCAGCAGAUGAGUUGUGACAAUGUAUGUGAAAUAUUGCCAAGCAGGGAAGCUCACUAGAGAGUGCCAGGCAUUUUUUGGGGGCCUGGUUACGGAGGCACCCUCUGCCUAAAAAAAAAAAAAAAAAAAAACUCUGCCUAGCAGAUACCAAAAUUCCAGGCUCCUAAAAGGGAAGCCAGGUGUUCAGCAUAAAACAUAUUGUUUGUACAAAUAGGUAAGGCACAGUAAGCCACUCUUCUCAGUUCUGGAAAUGGUGGAAACCCUCUGGAAAUCCAAAUUUCUGCCAGCCAAGAGCCAACCUUAUAAGCUAGCCUUUCAAAGAAUGGCAGGCUACUCUGUUAAGUCUUUUCUGUACACCCCAAUAUGUAUCAGGCUUAUCAUGGAGCGAUUUAGGUGACUGAAGUCACUGGCCCUUCACCCCGAGUGUAGGCCUUCAUUGAAUCACAGAUCUGAUUCUGAGUGGCUCUUGGUGUCCUUUGUCCACCUCUGGCACUUUCCUUCACGUUGGGUAGGUAACUGCGUUCUUCCACUGCCCUGAUGUAAUUAUGUAUAUGGCUAUUGCCCUCUCUGAAUUGGAGGCAUUAAAAGGUGUAAUCCCCCCAGGCCAUUAAUUCAGUCCGUUUCUUAAAUGGCAUCUUCAGCUUCUAAGAAAACCCUGCUUUCUAAGUAUAGGACAUUCCAUCAGUAGAGGUCCCUGAACGUGUCUUUUUGUCACAGUCACAUUCCUGUUCUUGCUGUGACCCCCGUUUAUUUCACUGGUAUGGGAGUUAAACAUUCUAGUGAGAUUUGCUGACUACUGUGGCCCUCUUACUCAGAGACAGUGGCUCUGCAUCUUAGGUGUUGUGCUAGGGCUUACUAUCCUUGAGAUACAAAAUUCUCGCCAUAGCUUCUGCAGUCUGAGGCUUCGUGGCAGAGAUGCAGUUUGUUUACUCUUCUCUGAAGAGUAAGCCUUUCUCUUUCCUUCCUUGCUCCAUUCUACCAUACAGUUAAAGUUUUGAUUUUAGUUAAACAACAACAAAGAAAGAGUUGCAUUUGAUACUAAAUGCAAACUGCACUAAAUACAAAUAGCACCAUAUUACUGUAAUUUUUAAAAGAGACAAAGUACUUCUAUACAAUUUUGGCUUUCCAUGGAAAUUUCCCAAGACCUCAGCCCUCUGGUACAGAAUUCUUUCCCAUCUAACCCCCACACCCCCAGUUAUUAAAAUGGAGCCAUCCACCCAUGACGUGUAGGAGGCUGUCGCCAGGGUAGGAAAGACGUCAGACACUAUUGUCAGCACCUGUCAGGAGCUAUUAUACCAAGUCCUGAUGCCCAGAUUGUCUGAGGACUAUCGUUUUGUAAACCUUAGGCUAAGAUUAUUUUUCUUUUCCUCAGCUCCUCUUUGAAGUUAUGGGUAAAAAAAUGUGUGUGCCUGAGAGACCUGAGCGGUUGUUUAUUGUGGGUUAGUGUUUAUUGAAAGCUCUAUGGAAGUACCUGUUGGCCAUUUGGAGGCCAGACAGUGGGAGCUACGUGUUUUCAAAAUUAUUCUGUGGAUGUACAUCAGUUUGUAUUUGCAGAAAGCUUCACAACUAUUUAGUGAACUACGGAGUUUAAAUUGAUAUGACUGAAAUGUUGUGCGUUUUGCUAUUUGACUGCAUUUUAGGGCUUGGUUGUGAUAACGACUGUGGAUUUUGCUCUUACUGCCCCUCCUCCCCUUCCUUUAUUCAGCGUUGCUGAUGUGAACACCUGCUAAAUGAAACAAGCAGCAGAGGUGUGCUUCUGAAUGGUUUGCAGCUUAACCUGAGAGUCCUCAGAGGGAGGAAAAUUUACUUUGUUUACUUUGCUUCUUCUCCCGUGUCUUUGAUGUAAGACAGCCUGAGGAGAUUUGGUUUUUCUAAACAAAAUGGGGAAAAAAUUAAUGGCCUGAUUUGUCUUAUUUUCUAGCAGGAAAUUCUCUGGUGAAGGGCAGAGAUGAAGCUCUCCUGACCUGGGACCCAUUCCUCAUAAAAGCAGCAUUUUAAUUAUGUAGUAUGAGUUUUGUUAGGAGUCGGAACUGACUUGAUGGCACCUGACGACAGUAUGAAACAGUGAGGCAGUGGUGGUUCGGUGGUAGAAUUCUCACCUUGUGUGUGGGGACUUGAUUAGUUUCCUGCCCAAUGCACCUUAGGCACAGUCACCUGUCAGUGGAGGCUUGUGUGUUGCUAUGGUGCUGAACAGGCUUCAGUGGAGCUUCCACACUAAGAUGAACUAGAAGGAGUGGCCUGAUGAUCUGCUUCCAAAAAUCAGCCAGUAAAAACCCUAAUGGAUCACAACAGCCCUAUCCACAACUCAUCACAGGAAUGCCGCAGGACCAGGCAGUGCUUUUUCUGUUAUGUGUGGGGUCGCCAUGAGUUGGGACCAACUCCAUAGCAGCUAACAACCACCAUAACAGUAUGAAAGAUAUAGAUCUUUGUUCAUUUUUUCUCCUCCUAUUAUAUGUUAUUCUUUUUCAAUACAUAUAUUUUUGUUCAAGUUGGUAUAACAAAAGCCAAACUGUUUUUUGUUCUUGUCUCUCAGUCUGAACUUAACUUUUCUUUAUAUAUUUUACCCUGUAAUCAAAGAUGGAGCUAAACCCCUGAAAUAAACUGGAAAGCACUCGAUACCAAUCCAUUUCAGUGAAAUCUCCAGAACAUAGAAUGGAUUGAGAAUUGUGUAAAUUGAUUUUUUUUGUGCAUAAAAAUGUUUAAAAAAAUGAAAAUUUACAAUUUAGUUAAAAUUAGAAUCUCUUUGAUGGCCAUAAAAUACAGGUGUGAUAAUUCUUUCUGCUUUAUUGAUGAAUUGGAAUGGACCAAAAACUCAAUAAAAUUGUAAAAUACAGGCUAAAAGAGUGAUCAAAGUAAUGUUUGUUAGUACUUUACUUUUCUUAAAACUUUGAUUUCUGUUAAACUUUAUACAAAAAUGGAAUUUUAUUCUACUAACAUUUUAUUUCAGGUAGACCUACAAGACCUUCCCAUUCAUAUUCCCUGUUUUUAGUUGCUUCCCAAGACCUUGAAAAUUCACCUUCAGUCAGAGUUUUCACAUGUCCAAAGUCUUUCUAAUGAUGUUACCUUUUUAGGUUGUAAAAGGCUAUAUGUGGAGUAUUGUCUUCUCCUGUCCUAUUGUACAGCCCUGGUGGUACAGUGGUUAAGAGCUCAGGUGCUUACCAAAAGGUCAGCAGUUCAAGUCCACCAGCCGCUGCUCGGAAACUGGAUGGGGCAGUUUUGCUCUGUCCUGCAGGGUUGUUAUGUGUUAGAAUUGAUUUGAUGGCAAUGAUUUUGUCCUACUGUAUCCUAUUGUGUCUUUUCCUAACCUAUGCUAUCCUAUCCUAUCCCAUUCUAUUUCAUCCCAUUUUUUUUUUUUAUUCUUAGAAAGAAAAGACUAACAUGAAAAUUUCAUCUGUUGUUGAAGAUUUUGGCAAAAGUGAAAAUCCAUUUGUACGGAGAAGUAUGUUAGAUGUGAAUUCUCCGGAAAAUGUCCACAAUUCAGCCAUAGGAGGAGACAGUGAUGGCAGUUUCCAGCCAAAACUCUGAAGAAGACAGGGUAUUCUUUGCCUCUUUCCCAUUGUCUUAGAUAUAGUACUGCUAUAAUAGAAAUACCACAAGUGGAUAACUUUAACACAGAGAAAUUUAUUUUCUCAUUGUCUUAGAUAUAGUACUGCUAUAACAGAAAUACCACAAGUGGAUAACUUUAACACAGAGAAAUUUAUUUUCUCAGAGUAUAGUAGGCUAAAAGUCCAAAUUCAGGGCAUUAGCUCCAGAAGAAGGCUUUCUCUCUCUGUUGGCUCUGGAGGAAGGUCUUUCUCGUCAGUCUUCCUCUGGACUAGGAGAUUCUCCCUGCAGGAACCCCGGUACUUCUUUCUUGGUGGUAUGAGGUCCCCAACUCUCGGUAGUAUGAGGUCUUUUGUAAGAUAAAAGGUGAUGCAGGCCACACCCCAUGGAAACUCCCUUUACAGUGGCUCAGGGAUAUGACCUGAGCAAGGGUGUUACAUUCCAUCCUAAUCCUCUUUAACCACAGGCAAAGAUUAUGAUUUAUAACACAUAGGAAAAUCACAAAAUGGAGGACAACCACUUAAUACUGGGAUCAGAGCCUAACCAAGUUGACAUAUAUUUUUGGGGGACACAAUUCAACCCAUGACACCCAUUUUAUCUUUUUCUCUGAUUUCCUUUACUUUUUCUACUUCUUUUCUCUCACUCUUUCCUUUCUAAUCUUUCUCUUCAGCUUUGAGCCAUUUUCUUUUAUUCUCUUAUUAGCUCACAGCAGUUGAUAAAGUGAUCCUCUCUCAGAGUUAUCUAUUGUUUUAAGGACUCUGGAAGUCAGUUAAGAAAUUAACCUUCCAUAGUGAAAUUUUGGCCUGAGAAGAGAAGAUAUUAAUGAGCAGAAAGUUUGUUCAGGGAAUUGCUAUUUAUAAAAUUUAUUCAGUAUUCAUGGAACAGAUAUGAUGGGUACCUACUGUGUGCCAGGCCCUGCAGUCAAGCACAAAGAUGGAUAACACACAUUGCUUGAAUUUUGGGAAGCCCUGUGUUUUUUUUUUUCUGUGUUAGCAGGGAAGGGGGCAGAGGUAAACAUAGAGAUUAGUAUUUGCAAUAUAACGUGCUAAUUUCCCUCACAGAGGCAUGAGCCAUGUCUUUUGUUCAUAUAAUCAGGCACCAGACUGGCCAUGGAAUUCUCCAUUUCCCUGGCCUCUGCAACUUUGAGGAGUGGAGGAUGCUGAUUAGAGUUAAUGUGACAGUUCCAAAAUAAAGUCAACUUGGAGCCUGUUUAAAUAUUGCACAGCUAGAGUUUAGUUAGACUUAGCUUUAGUUCUACCCUUUUUGUUUUGGUUUCCUUUGGCAUGAAGGAUGGGCCUUAGUUCUGCCCUCUCUCCUUGUUAGUUGCCUAGCUUCCAUUGUUAGGACUGCCACUGAAAAACCCCAUUGCUGUAGAAUUGAUUCCGACUCAUAGUGACCCUAUAGUACUGUCAUUACGUACCCUGAGUUUGGGCAAGAAAGGGGAAGACAUGAUUGGACUUCAGAGUACACAAACUCUCCUUCAGGUAUUCAAAGUAUCACCAUGUACACUUCCUUUUUUUUGUUUUUAAUUGUGGUGUAAAUAUACACAGCAAAACCUUCAUCAAUUCAACAAUUUCCACAUGUACAAUUCAGUGACAUUGACUACAUUCUUCGUGUCAUAAAACCUUUGUUGCUAUCCUUUUCCAGGUUAUUCCAUCACCACUAGCACUGUGUACAUGCUCAACAUAAAUUUUUAGACAUGAAGCUUUCCCAAGGACUUUUUUUUUCCUGACUGGCCUUUAGCCAUUAUAAUAGUUGCAUUUGUACUGUCUGUGGUAAUAAAAAGAAAAAAAAGUUCCCAGCCUAUCUGAAGUAAAAGUCAUAAACCAUGCCUUGACAACUGUAGCAAAUUAUAUUACUAAUUUAUUUUUAUUGUUAGUAUAAAUUUUAAUUGCCUUACUUAUCUUCUUGCCUGAGUAUUGUUUUGGGGGAUGAAGUUAAUGUUUUGAAAGUCAGUUCAGAGAUGAAUGAAUGAUGUGGUCAUAAUAGCAGAUACAGACAUGUCGCUGGCAUUUUGUGAAUGUCAAAUACUAAUUUUAACAACAGUAAAUUUUUAUAAAGAACAAGUAGUUCCCAACUAGUGAAAGGAAGGUGAUCUGUGUGAGAGACGGUUAUUUGUAGAUUCCACUGUUCAUUUCUAUUGCAGAUAUGCGAUAGAAAAAUAUUACCUCUUUGCCUUGUCACCUUCAUCAUUUAGCCUGCUAAUAUUUGAGGAAGCUCAGAUCUUCAAAGUAGAGAGAAUGGCCAUGAUAUACUCCUUUCUUUUUGUAAUCUAGGCCCUUUUCAGCAACCUCUAUACCAGUAAUUGCCCAACUCUUUGGAGUUGGAACUUUCUGUCCUUGUCGUUUUGGUUUUAUUCUACUCUUCUCCCUGCCUUCCAAAUGUUGUAUGCUAUAUCUUGGUUUGACUUUGACUUCCUUUGAGAAUUCUCUGACUUCCCCAAGAUUACAUGGGACACCCUUUUUCUUGUUGGGAAUAAUCGAACUAAAUUGGAAGAGGCUCUGGCAUAGGACUGAGGACCAUUCUAAGAAGCCGUUUUCUUAGUUCGUCCUCAGAAACCUCACCUUUUCUAGGAUGGCCUGUUUGGAUCUAAUAUUUUUGGUCUUGUUUUAUUUUAGCUUGGAAGGCACAGCUUCAGAGAAGUAGUUUAAUUAUAAAGACUCAUUGAGAGUCAUUGUCAGUAUGGGAAAAGUUAGUGAAGGGACUGGAACGUUGGCUGCAGUUGUUGUUGGUAAUUGCCAUCAAGUCAGUUCUGAGUCAUGGCGACCCCAUGUGUGCAGAGUAGAACUGCUUCAUAGGGUUUCCAAGGCUGUGUCCUUUCAGAAGCAGAUUGCCAGGCUUAUCUUCCAAGGCUCCGCUGGAUGAGUUCAAAGCACCAAGCCUUCAGCCGGUAGUUGAGUGCUUAGCUGUUUGUGCCACCCAGGGACUCCAUGUGAAGACUUUUUCUGCAGAAAUUUAUCCUUAAAGGGAAUGAUCGGCCCUUUCUGUCAUAUGGCGAGAGGCUGAAUGGGGAGCCUCGAUCCUCUGGGUGCUCUGAGCAGCUCCCAGUUAGGUCUCUAAAGGAGAAAUUGCAGAACUGCCUGGACUUCUUGCUCAGGUUUGUCCAGAAAAGAGUCAAGCAGCAGUUGAAUGAUUUGUACUUUCAUGGGAGAAACAAAGUAAAAGGUUUUUUUGACAUCAAAUUUUGUUUUAGCUGGGGCAGACUUUUUUUUUUCUUUCACUUUUUGUUUUUGAUUCUUCUGUACUAUUUUUAAAGUAGUGAGACGGAAUUAUCCCUGAACAACUUCUCCCAGGUGUCCAAAAUGCUGACUCUAUUACUUAGAGCUCAGUGGUCCUCUUCAGUGUUCUUGAGCUCUGUGUGCCCAGUUACUUCAUCUCUAUAAUGGAGACGGUAAUCUCAGUGGAUGUUGUGGUGAUUAACUGAGAUAAUUCUUGUAAAGUAAUUAGAAUCCACCCAUUGCUGUCGAGUCAAUUCCGACUCAUAGUGACCCUAUAGGACAGAGCAGAACAUCCCCAUAGGGUUUCCAAGGCUGUAAAUCUUUAUGGAAGCAGACUGCUGUAUCUUUCUCCUGUAGAAUAGCUGGUGGGUUCAAACCACUGACCUUUAGGUUAGUAGCUGAACGCUUUAACCACUACAUCCCUGGGGCUCUUUUGAAACAAUUAGAAUAGUGCCCGUUAAUGGUUACUAUUGUAAGAUUAUAUACUAGUUCUAGUUAUGGAAGAUUCUAGUUUCUUGGUGCACAGGUAUGGUCUUUGAAACCCUGAGCGGAUGUCUAUGCAGGCUAAUGUUAAAUUAAUAUUUGGUCAUUUCUUGGUUAUUUGAAUCAAACAAGGAAGCCAGUCCAGGAACCUAUGCUUUUCCUUAAAGCCUGGUUUGCCAUACCAUUUGGAAGAUGUGCAGCCUCUCCUUAGCUGAGUGGGUAGAGUCAAAUAGUCCUCUGAGGCGGUGCCAGUGUGGAGGUCAUCUCCUGUAGCUGCUCCCGUGUAACCCAGAAAACCACGUAGAGGGUAUGAAAUGCUGAGAAUAGCCCUGGGAGGAACCAUGCUUGGCUGUUAACCAGCUCCACCACUAGCCAGCUGUGAGUAACUCAGGUCAGGCCAACUCUUUAUAUAUUUAUUGCACUCACUCCAUUUGUAAAAAAUGCUGAGGCAUUAAAAUAAAUUAAAGACAUCUUGAUAUUCCACUUCUAAUAAUAACACAUAGUAUGGAUCGGAAAGAAGGAAAGAAUAGAAAAAAUGAAAGUUUUCCCUAUGUAACCAGAAUAACAUUAUCACAACUAAUAAGAAUUGAUAAAAAUUCUUAAUGUCACCUACUAUCUAGUUCAUGGAAACCCUGGUGGCAUAGUGGCUAAGUGCUACGGCUGCUAACCAAGGGUUGGCAGUUCAAAUCUGCCUGGCGUUCCUUGGAAACUCUGUGGGGUAGUUUUACUCUGUCUUAUAGGGUCGCUAUGAGUCGGAAUUGACUCGAUGGCAGUGGGUUUGGUUUUUUCAUUAAUUUUUUUAAUCCAGUUCAUAUUAAAUUUCCCCCAUUGUGGUUAGGUCAUAUACUGAAUUUAUAGUACUGUCAUCUCUUCAUCUGAGGAAUGAGGAGGUAGACCUACCUAAAUGAUAUGAGGUUCAUAUUAGUAUUACUACUUUGAAAGCUUAAUACCCUUAGGAAUUGCCACUGUUCCUUUGUUCAUUUAUUUCUUGUUUUUUGGAGGAGGAUAUAAGCUUUAGAGACAAAAACUGUGGCUCUAAAACAUGAUGAAAUGGAAAUUUGGAAGUUAUUUGGUUAAUGGACUCAAUAGAUACAGAUUGGUGUUGCCUCAAACUGGGCUUGAAUCAUAGAUUGGGCAGACCUAGCAUUUACCCUGGUUAGGUAAAUUGUAUAAUUGCCAGAGAGAAGGAGAUAGUAUAUUAGUUUUAGGCCCAAUGGGUUUUGGGGUUUGCAUUUUAUAGUCUCCAUAAAUGUUCAUGAUGCCCUUUACAGUUACAAGAAGAACUUGAACAGUCUUCUUGAUUUAGUUUUGUUUUGACAUUUGAAAUGCUGAUGUUUUAUUCAAGGAAACUAAAUGGUGGGUCUAUCAGAUUACCUGCCUAGGGAAACUCCCAUUGUUCCAGAAUAAAAGAAGAAUGAAAAAGUCAUGCUUUGGCUGCCUAGUGGAUAUCAGGUGGCAGCAGCCCAGAGGUCACUGCUGUUUGGCACAUUCUCUGCCUCGUGCAGGUUCUCCUGUGAAGACCCUUCCUGGCUUCUUAGCCUACCCACCAAAACCUGCCCAGGCCACCUCGUUGUGUAUGUUAGGAAUGAGAUCUCCCCCCUGAGUUCUGAACCAGCUGAAAAGUAGGACUGUGGGGUCAGGCAGAUGGAGAUCAAAAUAUUAACUUUAUUACUUAUAAAAGCUAAAUUGGAGGGCUUGUGAAUCAGUGAUAUGUGAAAACAAAGGACUUUUUAAUCCUGAACCUCAGAAUUGGACAGACUUGCCUAGUGGGCACAGGCAGGGUGGUGCCGCAGGCCUCCUCUCCUGGCAUGGAGGAGAGGAGCAGUGUGUGGGCCCCUGGCAGGCAGCUGGCUCCCAAGAAAAGGAAGAGAGAAAGGGCUGAGCAACCCUGACCAGUUCCCCUCUGCCGGUCAGGUAAGUCCUUCCUCUGGUUAUUCACCUUUCAGUACUCUAGGAGGCAGUAUUCCCCAGGGGCCUAUCUCAUGGCCGCUUUGUGGGUCUUCUCCCCUGGGGCAGGCCCUUCCCUCGGUUUGGCUUCAUUGAUAUAUUUAUUUAUAGGAGUGAGAGAAAUGAGAUAUGUUCUGGUAAUAGUGUUCAAUAAAUAUUGUCAUUCAUAUGAUAUACACUCUUUGAAUAGGUUAGAAAUUUUUUUUUUAAAUUCACCAUUAAAAUUUCCCCCAAAUCUGAAUAUUUGUUGAAUGGGUGAAUAUACUGAUGGCUCUUUUUGCAUUUGGGGAGCUGAGACUUGAGGUUGGUUGUAUGCUUUGGGGAGGAAGAGGAAGUGGGCUGGAGAGCUAAGAAUUUCCUGAAGGUUUACAGCCUAGAGGAAUUCCAGGCACUCUGGAAGGGGCUUAUGCUCUGAGCAUUCUGGGAGCUAGCUCCUCCCACUUAUGGGCUUUCUGCUCCUUGGUUCUGGGAACCAGGGAAUCGUAGACAUUGAGAACUUGGGACAACACUUCUUUUGGAAGCCUCCUCCUUUCCCAAGUGGCCAAGCAGUCCCCUCAUUGAGGGAGAAGCUUGGGACUAGCCACCCAGAUCCCAUGAAGAAGCUGAUGAGAAGGGGAAGGAGGAGUCAAGGGCUUGUAGAGCUGGUGGGUGGGGUAGGCAGAACUUGUUGAUCCCUUGCAAAGUAUAGAAACCAUCUUUUGUGUCAGAAGUGUUUUGACACAAAGUAAGGAGCACGAGAAUGACCUUUGUUCUAAUUAAUGGAAUGGAAGGUUGCAUUACAUUUUUAAAGCACACUACUGAAAUAUAUGUGUUGCUUUUUUGGUCAUCACAGCACACUUCUGAUUCACGUUGAAUGUGAACUUAUUAUCUUAAACCCCUACAAUGCUUAAAUAACAACUGUUACACAUAUUUUUAUUACCUUGUCUCUUUUGACCUGAGUCAUUAUAUUUUCUGUACCUAAUUAUACGUUAAACCUGUUAGAUCCAGACCAUGGAACCAGACUGUCAUGAUCUUUUAGAAUGUUGAGUUUUUUAUCUGGUUUGAUUUUGGGUUGUCUACAAAUAUGAUGACCAUAUCCUCUUUGUCUUUACACAAGUCACCAAAAAAAGUGUGGAAGAGGAAGGGGUCUGUGACAGAGCCCUUUGGGAUGCUGUGGAACAUUACCCCUCCCCAUUGGCUUUGGGUAUUGCUCUGCAGUUGUUCACUUAGCUAAUUUUUCUUCCACCUAGCCUGUAUUUCUUCAUUUUGUUCACACAGAUUCAUAAAGAGACUUGUCAGCAUGUUGUAUGUCUGUACAUUUCCAUGUUAUUAACAGUCUUCAAACUUGUUAAGAACUGAACUAAGUCCAGUUGGUCAUAUAUGCUUCUAGAUUUUUUGUGGGGAUAGGUAAUGAUAGCUGCCAAAAAGUUUUAGGUGAGUGAGGGUUAACUAUUUUCCCAAAUCCUCACCACCAGUUUAUAAUGAAAGUGAAUUUCAGACUAAAUUUAGCCUAAGACAUUUAUUAAGUAGACAUGUAUUAGCAAGCAGGCAUCAUUCAGUCUGUAUGGUUGAUUCUGUCAGCUAAAGUCCCAGCUCUCAGACCCCCUUAGGUGCUCUGACCACCACUUUGCAUUAAAGCUUUCCUUGAGAGACUGGAACACUUAUACAUUGCUGAUGGGAAUGUAAAAUGGUACAACCGCUUUGGAAAUUGAUUUGGCGCUUCCUUAAAAAGCUAGAAAUAGAACUACCAUAUGAUCCAGCAAUCCCACUCCCUGGAAUAUAGCCUAGAGAAAUAAGACUCUUCACACGAACAGAUAUAUGCACACCCAUGUUCAUUGCAGCACUGUUUACAAUAGCAAAAAGAUGGAAACAACCAAGGUGCAUAUCAAUGAUGAAUGCAUAAUUAAAUUAUGGUAUAUUCUCACAGUGGAAUACUAAGCGAUGAUAAAGAACAACAAGGAAUCCUCAAAACAUCUCCUAACAUGGAUGAACCUGGAAGGCAUUAUGCUGAGUGCAACUAGUCAGUUCCAAAAGGACAAAUAUUGUUAUGAGACCACCAUUAGAAGAACUGAAGAAAAGGUUUAAACACAGAAGAAAACAUUCUUUGAUGGUUACAAGGGUGGGGAGGGAAGGAGAGGUAUUCAUUAACUAGAUAGUAGACAAGAUUUAUGUUAGGUGAGGGGAAGGACAACAUAUAAUAGAGGGGAGGUCAGCACAACUGGACUAAACUAAAAGCUGAGAAUUUCCUGAAUACAACCAAACACCAAACACUUCGAGGGACAGAGUAGCAGGGUCGGGGGUCUGGGGACCAUGGUUUCAGAGGACAUCUAGGUCAAUUGGCAUAAUAAAGUUUAUUAAGAAAAUGUUCUGUAUCCCAUUUUGGUGAGUGGCGCCUGGGGUCUUAAAAGCUUGGAAGUGGCCGUCUAAGAUGCAUCAAUUGGUCUCAACCUACCUGGACCAAAGGAGAAUGAAGAACACCAAAGACACAAGGAAAAUAUUAGCCCAAGAGACAAAAAGGGCCACAUAAACUAGACUCCAUCAGCCUGAGACCAGAAGAACUAGAUGGUGCCUGGCUACCGCCAAUGACUGCCCUGACAGGGAACACAACAGAGAAUUCCUGACGGAGCAGGAGAAAAGUGGGGUGCAGAACUCAAAUUCUAGUAAAAAGACCAGACUUAAUGGUCUGAGUGAGACUGGAGGAACCCCGGAGACAUGGCCCCUGGACUUUCUGUUAGCCCAAAACUAAAAUCAUCCCUGAAGUCAGCUCUUCAGACAAAGAUUAGACUGGACUAUAAGACAUAAACUGAUGCUCAUGAAGACAGUGUUUCUUAGUUCAAGUAGAUACAUGAGACUGAAUGGGCAGGUCCUGUCCGGAGGUGAGAUGAGAAGGCAGAAAGGGACAGGAGCUGGUUGAAUGGACACGGACACGGGAAAUCUGGGGUGGAUAGGAGGAGUGUGCUGUCACAUUAUAGAGAGAGCAACUAGGGUUAUAUAAAAAUGUGUGUAUAAAUUUUUGUAGGAGAAACUAACUUGCUGAAAACUUUCACUUACGGCACAAUUAAAAAAAAAAAUUUUCCUUGAGGUCGAUUUGCCAAUAUCCUGCCUUUUACCUUAUGAUAGACAUCAAACAAACAAACAAACAAAAAACCAUUGCCGUUGAGUCAAUUCUGACUCAUAGUGACCCUGUAGGAGAGAGUAGAACUGCCCCAUAGGGUUUCCAGUGAACGGUGGUGGAUUCUAACUUGCAGACCUUUUGGUUAGCGGCUAAGCUCUUAACCUCUGCACUGCCAGGGCUCCAUGAUAGACAUCAGACAGCCAGAAAUCCUCCAAACCAUAGGCUGGACUUUUUUAAGGAUUACACCCAAGGGUACAGGCUAUAGGCCUUGCUGGGUGGAUUCUUAUACCCUUAUACCCUAUAUAUGCAAGGAUGUUGUUGUUGUUGGGUGCCGUCAAGUUGGUUCCCACUCAUAACGACCACGUGUGACAGAGUAGAACUGCCCCAUAAGCUUUUCUUGGUUGUAAUCUUCACUAAAGCAGAUUACCAGGUUUUUCUCCUGCAGAGCUGCUAACCUUUUGGUUAGCAGCCAAGUGCUUAACCAUUGUCUCACCAGAGCUUCUUGAUAGGGAGUAUCUAAAAUAUUUUAGUUCAUUCUUAACAUUCAUUGUGCUAAUUAACAAACUACUAAUUUCAUCAAUAAAAACCCAUUUCUGAUAUUCACCCUUCUUGGUGUCUGUGUUACUCAAGUAUAGAUAGCAGGAUGUCUUGAUUAAGAUGCUGGCUGACCAGCUCUGGACUGUGAACUAUAAUUCACGUACAGUAAAGUUCACAAACAUUCUGGUGCAUGUCCUGGGUGAACAGAGUAUAAGUUAUUGAUCAGGGUGACUAACAACAUCUAGAGUUGAAGUUUAAACUGACUAGCGGUUAAUUAGCCCAUGCCGAAGAAUUUUAAAGUAAAUCGAAGGCAUUAUACAAAAUGAUACCAAACAAAAGGGUGAAUUUGGUGUAGUGUGAUUUGUACUUAGAGAAGCCAGGCUGGUACCGAAGUAGAUCGUUACUUUUGUGCUUUUUGCCUGUAACAGAUAUUCUCAGCCAAACCAAAAUCCAAACCAAACCCAUUGCCAUCGAGUCGGUUCCAAUCCAAAGCGACUCUAUAGGACAGAGUAGAGCUGCGCCAUAGAGUUUUCAAGUAGUGCCGGUGAAUUCAAACUGCCAGCCUUUUGGUUAACAGCUGUAGCAUCUAACCACUGUAUGCUACCAGGGUUUCCAAUUCCCAGCCAGAGGAUCAAUUUCCUGAAAGCAGAGAUUCUCAUGUGAAAGCAUGUUGUUCCCUCAUGCCUUCUCUAGAAGGGUGGGAAAAGAACCUUUUUGUUAAUUCUGCAAAUAGGCAUGCAUUUUCUAAUUUUAGAUUCUCACUGUGAAGAAAGUCAUGAAUUACUAAAAACCCAGAGAAUAUAAGCUAGUAUUUAGGGGUUCCCCUGAGUUGGAAUGAAUAAGGUUUUUAAAUAUUCAUUUGUAUAUUUCUUUUCAUGUCGUUUUGUGUAAUAUGAUGAAAAAAUGUUUGCUGCUGAUUUAGAAUCUCUGAAUACUCUUAUAAAAAUUUAAUUCCACCCAUAUUAACUUGGUUUUAAAGGCUUUUUUAAGGGUCUGUUUUCCUCUAAUAGGUUGCUAGAGGGAAAAUCUGUUAGCCUAAGAGAAUUGAUGGGUGGAAGUAGACUAGGGAAACUGAACUCAGACCAGCACUGGGGGAUGCUGCAUUGAUUUAAAUUUUAAAAACCCAGACCCAGUGCUGUCGAGUCGAUUCCGACUUAUAGCGACCUUAUAGGACAGUGUAGAACUGCCCCACAGAGUUUCCAAGGAGCGCCUGGCGGAUUCAAACUGCCGACCCUUUGGUUAGCAACUGUAGCACUUAACCACUAUGCCACCAGGGUUUCCUUAAAUUUUAAAAGGGUCUGCAUUUUAUGAAAGUAAAGAAGGUUAGUGUUCCUUUUGGCAUGGAUGGAAACGAUUCUGGUUGACCUGUACCACACAUGCAGAGAUAAGGCAUUACCACCCCUUUGUGGCACCUCAUCAUGUUUUUGAACAUCCCCAAGGGAGGGGAGUCUGGCAGUGUGAACCAAAAUUACAGACGAAUUUCCCCUUUGAGCCAGCAUCCUAUUUGGGAUUCUAUCAUACAGAUAUACCUGCACAUGUAUGAAAUGACAUUUGUACAAGGUCAUUAUUGCAGCUCUGUGUGUAACAGCAGGUCAUUGGAAACCACCAAGUGCCCAUCAGUAAGGGGCUGGUUAAAAGGACUGUAGUGGAUGCCUACAGUGGAAUGCUCUGCAGUUACCAAAAGAGAACAUUGGAGACCUAUGUUAUGAUAUGGAAAGAUCCCCAGGAUACAUUACCAAGUGAAAAAACCACGGUGGAGGUUACUAUGUACAGAAGGAUACUCUUGUGUCAAAAAAGGGGGGGUAUGAAAAUAUCUAUUUGAAUUUGCUUACGUUUGCAUAAAGAAACACUGAAGGGCAAACAAGAAACUAAUAAAAAUGCUUAUCUGUAGUGGGCUGAGGGAAUAGAGUGAUUGGGAAUAUGUGUAGGACUGACUCCUCUGCAUAUAUCUUUUUAUAUUGUGUUUACUUUUGGAUCACACAUGGGUCGCCGUGAGUCACAGUUGACUCUAUGGCAUCUGAUGGUUUACACUGAAUCAUGUAAAGAACAACCAACCCAUCAGUCAACCAACUAACCAACCAACAAAAGUGAAUCUGACGAGUCCUUGGGUGGCACAAAUGGUUAAGUGCUGGAAUACUAACUGAAAGGUUGGUGGUUCAAACCCACCCAGAGGCACCUUGGAGGUAAGACCUGGCGAUCUGCAUACAAAAGGUCACAGCCUUGCAAACCCUAUGGAGCAGUUCUACACUGCACACAUGGGGUCACCUUCAGUCAGGGUCAACUCAAUGACAACUAAUAAUAACAACAGUGGUGGUUUCAUGCUACAAUGACAGAGUUGAGCUGUUGGGACGGAGACCGUAUUGCCCACAAAACUGAAUAUAUCAAGGAAUGACCUUUGACAUAGAACUAGACCAAAAGUAAGAGUCAGAAAGUGCAGCUGGUUCAAUACAUGAUGAAAGGGUGAGGCAAUCCACUUGACUUCUUAAGUUGGACCAUUCGAUGAACAAAUGCUUAGGGAGCCCCUUCUACGUGCCAGGCACUAUUUUAGGUGCUGCAGGCACAGCUGUCAAUGGGAAUAUUAAGUCCAUGCUUUCAUGGAGCUGACAUUCUAGAAGGGGCAAUUAGACAACGAAUAAGUGAUGAAAGGAGGUCAAAGGAGGGAGAAAAGGCUCAUGCACUAGAGUCUAGUGAGGAAGGGCGAGAGGAACCCACAGGAGGUUAGAAAGGAAGGUUAAUUGGUGAUCUAUUCCUGUGUAUUUAUAGUGCAUUUAUGUACAAUAUUAUCACACGUAGCAUAAGAAAGUGGUGUAAUUCUCACAUUUAAAUGUUUGCAACAGCAGUCAAGAUUUCAUUUUACCAUCAUAUUAUCACAUUACCUACGUUUCAAAUAAAGAAAAAAAGAACACGUUAUUCAGGUCACUGUACCCCAGUCUACUGCUGUGUCGUGAGAGACUAGAAUUUAGUCGAAUAAAUAAAAGGUUGAUUUGACCGUGGGAGUUUGCUUUCCCAACAGUUGGCUUAUAUUGAGGAUAAUGUUAUCUAUAUGAUUUGUGACUGCAACCAGAGGUUAUUUAACAGUCAAAACGUUACUAGGAAAAGUAUUAUUUUUUUCCCCUUGAGGAGUGGUUAAAAUUUAAAUUGCCUCUUUUUUUUUUUUUUUUACUAUAUAAUAUGUUAACUACAGAAAAUGAAAACACACACACACACAGACACACACACAGAGGAACCACAUAAUCUUCACAUUCCAUCUAAUCUUCGUGACAGUCAUUGUCUGCAAAUACCACUCAGCUCUUUCCACAGCACAUGUUGUAGGUAUUGGAAACAUACUUCUAUGUUUACUUUUUUCUUCGUCUGGUCUUUUACUGGCAGAUUUCUCUUUCAUAGUUUCUGAAUCAGAUGAAAGAUGAAUAUGGUUAUUUAGAAGAAGUUUCUAUAAUGAUUUUUUAAAGAGACAGAUUUUUCUCUGUCCCUUUGGGUUCAAUUAAAUUUGUGGCAAAACUUGAGAAAUAAUGAGAAACAGAUCAAAGUCAUAGGAAAAGGCAAUGACCAAAGUGUUUUCUUGCAUCUUAGACUCUACAACAGUGGUUGAGUCUCGUUUAGAUAUGAAGGAAUAACCAACACAGACUGGGCAGCCAGACUUGGGAGUCUGGGUUAUUCCUGACAGCCAAAGACCAAAAUUUAAACCUGUCUGAUAUGGGAACAGCAAAUUCACAAGCAAUCCUAGAAUUGUGAUUUAGCUAAGAAAGCACCAGAAAUCAGAUUUGUUUUAAGGGUUAAAAAAUGUAGAGUAUUACAGAUCUUUAUUUCAUAAUCGUGAGAAAUUCCACUCCAUGGAAUAGUAAGGAAGGCGCUCCAGGAGUCCCAGGAAUUGGCUGUCAUCCUAGGAAAUGCAAAAAAGAGGUGAGAAUGGAGACUUGUCAUUGUACUUCCCUAUUCUCUAUUGCUCAAAAGGCUUGGGUCAUUCAUUGUCUUUGUGACUGGCUGUUUCAGAACUUUGUCAGCUUGGUACCCUGGGACCCUCAGGGUGAUAUUAGGAGGGUGAGAUGUUGCUCCCAGAAGGUGGAGAAAGAAGGGUAUACAGUAGCAGCACAGCCUCUUCCACUCUGCCACACUUACUGGCGAAGCAGGAAUAUGUGCUGACAUCACUGGAGUUGGCUGGGGAAGUUCUAAUGCGAGUCCAGUCCGCGAUGGCAUGACUGUUCACACUCACUGUCAUUAACAGUGAGGUAACCUUGCAAAAAAUGGUAGAUUUGCUUUAAGCAGCUAUGCUUUUAGGUAUAGCAAGGAACCUGCGAACUGCGAGGAUAUGUCGCCAGUGCUCCCUAAGUUGCAUGUUCUUUCUGAGUUUAGUUUCUAGACAGAUAGUAAGAACCAGGAAGCAAACAUGAAGAAGGGCAACGGGGAAAUUCAGUGAAGCGGCUGAUUCUCCAGUACUGUUUGCUAUUUCAGGUAGCAGUUUAAUGAAUGGACGUUAUUGUAAGUAUGCAUAUCCAGAAGUCAUGCAACAGCAUAUGAAGUAUUUCACAAUUAUUUUUAGGCAUUCUUCCUCUUUGAACGUAGUCAAUGUUGUUUGUUGUUGUUAGCUGCCGUCAAGUCAAUCCCGACUCAUAGUGACCGCAUGUGUGCAGAGUAGAACUGCUUCAUAAGGUUUUCAAGGCUGUGAUCUUUCAGAAGCAGAUCUCUACGCCUCUGGGUGAGUUUGAACCACCAACCUUUCAACUAGUAGUCAAACACUUAGCCAUUUGUGCCACCCAGGGACUAGUUACAUUGAAGGAGACUGUAUUGUUUUGCCACAGUAUCUAUGAAAUAAGAAGUUUGUUUUCCUUCAUAGAAACCAAAGACCUCUUUUCUUGGAAGCAACUCACUGUUUUCUAAGUACACAGUAAAGGCUGUUCUCUGUAUCCACUUCUUCAGUGUUCUCCCAGCCAGUACUUCAUACAUCUUCGCUGCAGGGGAAGAUCCUUGGCACUCUUGUGAGUCAGUCAGUGAGAGAAGAUAAGCUUAUGUUCAUAAUAGUUUUACGGUUCUGCCAAAGCUUCAAUUCUGUUAAUUUUAUGAAAUAUAAAUGCAGUUUCUUAUGGGUCUAUUUUGAUGAAUUACAAUUUGUAUUUAUGGCCUCCUAGGAGUUUUAAAAACUGCUGAUAAGCAUUUGAGUCUAUUUGUGAGAGUCUCAAGGCUGUCGGACAAAAUUGGUAUAAGAUAUGAUAGUAUCAACAACUAUAAAAAUAGUUCACAUUUGUGCAGUGCACUGGAACUCAUUAUACACAGUUCCUAUGUGCUAUAUUAAGCACGAGAAAUAGGGUCAAAGGGCAGGCAUAGGUUCAGUGGACUGAUUUGAGUCCUGGAGCUCUUUCUGACCAGUUCAGGCAACGGGGUUGUGCAGAAAAGAGUUGACGUAGCGUGUAUAAACUGCUAUCCUUGAAAAGGCCUGCUUGCACGAUUGGCCCUUGGCUAGUGCCUGGGAACUUAGAUUUCAGAAUGAUUCCUAACAUUUACUGGUAAUAGUGGCUCACUGUCCCUAAAUUGUGCCAAUAAUAUGGUUUAUGUAGGACCCGUACUUUCCCUUAAGGAGUCUGGAGUUUUGGUAUGUGCUAGGCAGGGGGUACUAAAAAAAAAAAAAAAAAAAACCUAAACCUGUUGUCAAGGAGCCCUGAUCGUUCAGUAGUUAAAGCACUCAGAUGCUAACCAAAAGGUCAGCGGUUCUAACCACCAGCUGCAGUAGAAAAAUGUGGCAGUCUGCUUCUGUAAAGAUUACAGCCUUGGAAACCCUAUGGGGCAGUUGUACUCUGUUCUACAGGGAUGCUGUGAAUCAGAAUCAACUUGAUAUCAAUGGGUUUGCCUUAAACCCGUUGUCAUGGAGUCAUUUCUGACUCAUGAUGACUCUAUAGGGUUUUCUUGGUUGUAAUCUUUAGGGAAGCGGAUCCCCAGGUCUUUCUUUGUGGCCCUUUUGGGUGGGUUUGAACUGCCAACCUUUAGGUUAGUCGUCAAGCACAAACUGUUCGCACGACUCAGGGACCUUGCCUAUAUGAUUAGAUACCCUGGGCACUUAGUCUGUAACGAGUUGCCCUGGUUGGCAACAUUUCACACAUGUUAUCACAACUCAUUGCUGGGAGAAUUAAAGCGUGUCCUGUGUGACUCAACUGGGAGAAAAGUCUCGGAAGCUUGUGCCUGGUUUCCCCCUAAUUUUACCGCAUGUGUCUUUUUCUUUACAGAUUUUGUUUUGUAUCCUUUUGCUGUAAUAAAUCAUAGCCAUGAGUUUGCCUGUUUGUGGAGUCCUCCUAGCAAAUCAUUGAACCUGGGAGUGGUCUUGGGGAUCUCUUGACACAGGGGUCCUUUCAGAGUUGACUUUAAUGAGAAUAGCUCAGAGGGCAGAGCUUAUCAGCAGCUUGGGCUGUGCAGAAUUGAGCAUUAUACCAGACAAGGAGCAUCUCUUUUCAAGAUUCUGUCAGGCAAAUAGUGGCUGGAAUUUGUGCCGUGAGUCAGAGGGUGAAUCUCUCCGACCGAUUAGACCAAGAUUAUAGAGUUAAUUUAUUUCCUGACUAAUUGGGUUAAGGGGAAUGAAAAUAAAUUUUAAGAGCUUUUUAAAAUAUCAGUCUAUCACAUUUUGGUACUUAUUAGUAUUUUAGUUCAUUUUGCAUAUUUAUUUAUAAUCCCAAAUUUAUCUUCUGAAGUAAAUAACAAGAAUGUGUAAUGUACCAGCACAUCCAUAUAUCAGCCAAUUUUUCCACCUCUAAGGUGGCCAGCUGUUGAGUUUUCACUACCAAAUUCCCGGCUGUUUUUUUCACCUAGUCCCCGCCACGUGAAGGAUUGAUACACAUAUUACUGGGGUCCAAAACGCCCAGUUAAAAUAUAUCUCAAAGGGAUAGUAAAAAUCACAGACUGUUACGGCACCUACCUUCCCUCUCCUCCCCAACCCCAGUAAUGUUGAAUGACUAAGUAAGAAAUCAGCGAAGACGGUAUGUGUGAAAACACCUCACACAGGCCCUGGUGGAUGGGUGUCCAACACACCAUGUUUUCCCUCAUCCUCAGCAAUGCUCAUCGCCCUUCCCCCAGAGUAUUCCUAAGUGCAGAGAGUACUAACAAAUGAACUGGGACAUUUCCAGAUGUUUCCCAGAGUUACACUGAUGUUCCAGGAAGAUGCAUGUUUGUGAUCUUGUGGCUUCGGGCCCCCCGGCAUAUAUACUGUAAUUUAAGAAGCUUAUAGUUUGUGGCAAAUGUCAGGCAAGGCAAAAGGGAGUGAUCAAAUUCAUCCCAAAUCUAUUUUGUUGUAUUUUAUAGUCUUUGAAAUUUGAGCACUUGUAUAUGGUUCGGAAACCCUGGUGGUGUAGUGGUUAAGUGCUACGGCUGCUAACCAAAAAGUCGGCAGUUUAAAUCAGCCAGGCGCUCCUUGGAAACUCUAUGGGGCAAUUCUACUCUGUCCUAUAGGGUCGCUAUGAGUCGGAAUCAACUCGACGGCACUGGGUUUGGUUUUUGGUUUGGUGUAUUGUUCAAAAGGCAGUUUGCUUAAGCAAAGUGUUAAACAGCACACCUAUUCUCCAGCCAUUCUGGACGUCAGGCAGGAAGUAAUCAUUCCUAAAUUCUGCUUUUGCAUUUGUAGCCAUAAUGUGACAAUCUGGUGAGAACAGUGGGUAAGGACUUGGGUUUAGCCAUCACCCAAGAAAUACUUAGGGUUCCACGGAUUUUAGUUAAAUGCAGAGGUUUAAUAGUGUAUUUUUAAUUGAAGGAUAAGAUAAUGGGGCAGCAUUUCUCCACCAGCUUAGAUAAAAAUCCUCUUGCUCAUCUGAACAUUUCUGUAGUAGCCACUAAUUACAGACAGUCACCAAUUACCAUGAAUCCAGAGAUUCUUACAGAUAAUUAAAAUUCUCUGAUGAUCCUGAAAUUUCACUUUUGCUGUUGGUUCCUAUUUUCACUAAGCCAAUUUUAUUAUAUAUAUAUUUAAUUUUUAUUGUGCUUUAAGUGAAAGUUUACAAAUCAAGUCAAUCUCUUAUACAAAAAUUUAUAUACACCUUGCUAUAUACUCCUACCCCGGUGGUGUAGUGGUUGAGUGCUACGGAUGCUAACCAAGAGGUUGGCAGUUUGAAUCUGCCAGGUGCUCCUUGGAAACUCUAUGGGGCAGUUCUACUCUGUCCUGUAGGGUCUCCAUGAGUCGGAAUCGACUCGAUAGCAAUGGGUAUAUACUCCUAGUUGCUCUCUCUCUAAUGAGACAACACACUCCUUCCCUCUACUCUUCGUUUUCGUGUCCAUUCGGCCAGCUUCUGACCCCCUCUGCCCUCUCAUCUCCCCUUCAGACAGGAGAUGCCCACAUAGUCUCAUCUGUCUACUUGAUCCAAGAAGCUCACUCUUUACCAGUAUCAUUUUCUAUCCCAUAGUCCAGUCCAAUCCCUGUCUGAAGAGUUAAGCCAAUCUUAUUUUAAAAACAAAUUUUAACAAGCAUCAUAAAGUCAUCGUUUUGGAGCAAUGGCCGCAUAUUUUAUCCAUGUUGUUGUAUUUAAUUGUCCCAUUGCCCUGCAGUGUGGGCAUUAUCCCGACAUUACAGGUGAAGAGACAGAGGCUCAGACAGGCUAAAUGCAAAGUCACACCUUAAGUCAUAGAGCUGGGAUACAACUUCACUUUUCUGACUUAAGGUGCACACUCUCCCUGUGUGUGUGUUUUUUAAACUACUGUCUACCACUGGUAGGGGUCGUUGUGGUUUAGUGGUAGAAUUUUUGCCUUCUAUGUGGAAGACCCAGGUUCAAUUCUCAGCCAAUGAACUUCACAUGCAGCCACUGCCCAUCUGUCAGUGGAGGCGUAUGUGUUGCUGUGAUGCUAAACAGAUUUCAGCAGAGCUUCCAGACUGAAAUGAACUAGGAGAAAAGGCCUAGUUAUCUUUUGGGAAAAUCAGUCAGUGAAAACCCAAUGGAUCACAAUGGUCUGGUCAUUUUGUGCGUGGAGUCACCAUGAGUUGGGGUGGAUACCACCGCAGCUAACAACAACCCACUGGUAGAAGUAUGGUGAAAUGUUUUGAAAGCAAUCAGGAGGAGGCCAGAAAAAAGCUUGAUAUAAUCUUGAAUCUUCAAUUCCCGAGUAACCAAGAAUUGACAAAUGUUUGAGAGAGUUAACUUCAAUUUCUUCAUUUAAAAAAUUGGGUUGGUAAGUAUCUUUGUUAUCUAGUGCUGCCAUAACAGGAAUACUGCAAGUAGAUGGCUUUAACAAAGAGAAAUUUAUUCUCUCUCAGUCUACUAGGCUGCAGGUCCAAAUUCAGGGUAGCAGCUCCAGGGGAAGGCUUUCUCUGUCAGCUCUGGAAGAAGGUCCUUGUCAUGAAUCUUCCCCUGGUCUAGGAGUAUCUCAGGCACAGGAACCCCAGAUCCAAAGGAUGCGCUUUGUUCCCGAUGCUGCUUUCUUGGUGGUAUGAGGUCCCUCCUAUCUCUCUGAUCGCUUCUCUCUUUUAUAUCUCAAAAGAGAUUGAUUUAAGACACUCUCUGAUCAAUAUAACUGCCACUAAUCCAUCUCAUUAACAUCAAAGUGAUAGAAUUUACAACACAUAGGAAAAUCACAUCAGAUGACAAAAUGGUAGACGGUCACACAGUACUGGGAACCAUGGCCCAGCCAAAUUGAUACACAUAUCUUUGGGGGACACAAUUUAUGACAAUAAGUUUUUCCUAUUUUUUUUCCUUUGGGUAUUGUUAAGUAGCAAAUGAGAUAGUGUAUUAAAAAUUCUUCGGUAAGUACUACCAGUGAUACGUAUGCCAAGGAAGGUUAUUGCUCUUUGAAAGCUCUGCUCCUCUGAAAAGAGUCUGGGCCUAGGACUUUGUCUUUGGCUCUUCAGACUUUGAGGGAGGUCUCCAUGGUAGAUACGAAGGACUUUUUACAAGAGGUGAGAGCCAGGUCUGGCCCAGACAAAUAAUAACUGCCAAACAAAGCAGUGGGUUAAAUGAGGAUUGUCAUGGCUGGGAGCACCCUUGUUUGUUUAAGAUCUCUAGAACUUUCUGGCUGGGAGGCACAUGGGGUUUUGUUAACUCAUUUUGAAGCAAACCAGAUACCCUGAGGUUGCCCUCCAUUUCAGGUUUAAAUCUCUGCUAUCUCUUGGCCCCUUGAGAAACUUGCUCACAAAUAUAAGGAGGGCGGAAGGAAUGAAAAGAUGUUGCCACAUUUUGAAGUGUUCUAAAUAAAUACGAGAUGGUAGUUGGGUAUCCACCCACGUUUUCUUUACAGUUGGAACUCAUUUACGGAUGAGUGGUUACUUAAACAACUUCCCAACCGAAGUAGUAUGGUUAUUUAAUGUGUACCUUUUUAAAAAUGUUUUCACCUCUCUUUUUUUUUUAAUUGACAGCUGUAAGAGGUCUAUCUAAAUGACUUUUCUCUCAUCACUGUUCACUUUCUGAGAACAUCAUUGAAGAGAGACUUCAUAAUGCCUGGCAUGGUAACUGACACAAUGUAGGAAUGGCAUAUGUAUUUGUUGAAUAAAUGAGCUAUAGGAGCAUUGACAGAGACCAGGCUCGGUUUGCAUUACCAUCUGCAAGUCAAAUGACCUCUUCUUUGGUCUUUAUUCACAUGACUUUUAUAAAAUAUGUCCUUUGGGUUAUUUUUAAUUGAAAAAAUUUUGAACUAAUAGUAUAUUUACAUGAAAUUGUAAGGAAUUACGAAGACAGAUCUUGUAUACUCUUCACCCAACUUCCCUCAUUGGUAACGUUUUGCAAAAUUAUAGUACAAUAACAACCAGGAUAUUGACAUUGAUGGAGUCCACCCAUUUUAUUCAUACAGUCUACCAAUCUUAUUCAAGUAUAUUGUUUUUAUUGUGGUAAAAAUGUAUAUAAAAAAACAUUUUCCAAUUUGGCAUUUUUUUACAUGUGCAAUUCAGUGACAUUGGUUUCUUUCAUGACGUUGUGCAAUCGUCAUCAUUAUCCAUUUCCAAAUUUUUCCACUGCCAUUAACAGAAACGCAUGACCCUAAAGGUAAGACUCUCCCUUUCUCCCUUCUGCCUCCUACUUACUGUAACCCUUAAUAAACUUUGAUCUCUAUAUAUUUGCCUAUUUCGUAUAAGUGCAAUCAUAUAGCAUCUGUCCUUCAACUAUGUUUUUUACAGUAGUGGAGUGUGAUUAGGGAAAAUAAAAGCCAGGUUGUGUGCUCUGGUGCAAAGGCGAAACCAGAGUUUUCUGCACUUCUGUUCAGUUCCCAGCUUCAGAGGAAAGGUGAAUUUGGAAUGAUGAGGGGAGUCCCCCAGGAGCCCUAGUAGCACAAUGGUUAAGCACUCAGGUGCUAACUGAAAAGUUGGUGGUUUAAACCCACCCAGUGGCUCCGUGGGAGAAAAACCUGAAAAUAUGCUUCUGUAAAGAUUACAGCCAAGGAAACCCUGUGGGGCCGUCAUACUCUGUUUUACGGAGUUGAUGUGAGUUGAAAAUUGACUCAAAGGUACCCAACAACAAUAGCCAGGGAAUCCUUGUGGGUGAGGAGAGGUUUUCCCAGGGUGGCAUGGGGUGGAGAACAGUAAAAGACUGUUUGGGAAGUUCACAGGGCAAAGAAGCAGCACUGUUCUGUAUUUUCCAGGGAAAGGCCAGCUUACUGUGGUUGACCAUCUCAGUGCCCAUCCCAUCUAUGGUCCCUCAUCCACCCUCAGCCCCCAGCCCAUGUGCUGGGAACACGCGGAGUAGUUUAUGCUUUUUGGAGCCCAAAGUCUGUUCUGCACACAAAUCCUGGCCCACAUCCUCCCCUUCUGAGUGAGAAUUUCCAGAAGGUUGGAGAAGAAUUAGCCUCUGUCUUUGUCAUCCUUUCUUUUCAUGUGGUUGUGUUUCUUAUUGGAUUCAAAUAAUUAGGUGUUGGAGGGAUGGUGGCACCUCUUUUUAUUCAUUAUUUAGCAGCUUCUUCUCCGUCUACAUUACAGAGUCUUCCCUGGGCAGGCCCCGAAUCUCAUCUGUUCUCAGCAGUCCACAUAGCAUCCUGCUCCAUAAUAAUUAAUGCAGAUGGAAUUAAGUGAACUGCUCCAUAGGGAGGGAUUCAGAUGGAAUAAAGACCUGCAGCAUUCCUGGUAAAGAGAAUGAGGAGAGGAGGGCAAUCUGCAGCCUGGGUCAGGGAGCACUGUUGUAUUUCCUGUAUCCUUGAAGUCCACAGUCCUGCUGAGCCUUAAAGGGACUCCUCUCAAUUGGGAAUUUGGCCUUGUUUCUAUUUAGGGAGAGAACAACCACCCAGCCUUUUUGCACGCCUGAAUUAAAUCCAGCAUUCUAGGUUAGAAGAUAGCAGUUCCCCCACCCUUCCCUUUUCUUAUGUAGCCUUAGAAAAUGUCUGGAUUUCAGCCUGUACAAGUAACUCACGGAGUUAACCCUUUCUUCUCAAGCAGGCCUACCCUCUGGGGUGCACAGGCGACAAUACAUUUAGGCACAGCCAACCAAGGCAGCAUUUGCAUAAUAUUCCCUAAUUUGCUUUCCUAAAAUCUGCCAUAGAUUGGGAAGAGAAAAAUACACACCUUUCACAGGAAUUACUAAUCCAUGAGAAAAUAACCACAUAACAACAGCUGACCACGUUGGAACCCUGAAAGACUUUUUUUUCCCCUAGGAAAAGCUAAUAAAAUUCUUCUGUGAAAUGCUUAUAGUACAAUAUUAUUUAAUAAGGUUUAAGAACCUGGUUUUUAAGUUUUUACCUUUUGGAGAAAAUAAUGUCAUAUUUUACUUGGAGAACAAUUUAGUUGGAAUGACCCUUUCAAAAGGAGCCCUGGUGGCUCAGAGGAUAAGUGCUCAGGUGCUAACCAAAAGGUCAGCAGUUUGAACCCACCAGCUGCUCUGUGGGAGAAAGAUGUGGUAGUCUGCUUCCAUAAAGAUUACAUCCUUAGAAACCCUAUGGGACAAUUCUACUGUGUCUUAUAGGGUCGCUAUGAGUCAGAAUUGUAUCGAUGGCAAUGGGUUUAGUCUUAUUUUUGGUUUUUGAGCGUUUCGGGGGAUUUGAAAACACGUGUUAAAUUAUUCUUUAAGCCAUUUUAUGUAAUCAUUUCUCUCAGAACCUUGUUAUUCCUGGCAGAUUUUCUUUCCUUUUUUUUGUUUACUAGGUUAUUAUUUUAAAUGAAGUGAAUGAAUACCAGAAAAAAGGACAGUGAGUUUCUGGUUGACUGCUUUGGAUUUUCCUUUGGAUCCAAAGGCGUAUCUAAAUGAUUCCAAAUGUCCACAUAUUAGUAAGCAACCAGAAAAUUAGAUUUUCAGAUUGCCUCAAAUGUCAUUAUUGCGUACAUAAAACACAGCUAGCCUUGAGGUCUACAUUUGCCUUUAGGAUUUUGUAAUGAUUUUCUGUCAGGCUUUGGGAAACUUCGAUUUUCUAUGUGAUACACAUACAGCUGCUUGUUUUAAGUUAGGGAAAGUGGGCUUCUUUUUCUUCAUAUGACAUAAGAAGACAGGAAGAAGAAUGUGAAAAAUCAGCUCCAAUCCCACCGCUCAGAAAUAACUGUUGUUAAAUUUUUGAUGUAUUUUUCUGUGCAUAAAUAGUAAACACAGUUACUUUCAUGUUGUGUAUUAUAUCUUCCAUUUUCCUCUAAAUGUCACAUCUUGGACAUUUUCCCAUAUUGUAAGUCUUUCCCCCAAAUAUUAUAUGUGCCUGUCCACCCCAGGUUUUUCUUUCUUUUUAUUGUGGUAUAUAUGCAUAACAUUUGCCACUUCAACCAUUUUCACACCUUGGCGACAUUAAUUACGUUCACCAUGUUUAACUGUUGCCACUGUCAGUUUCCGCAUUUUCCUAUCACCCAUAACAUCAAUUCGGUGCCUCUUUAAGCAAUAUCUUCCCUUUCUCUCCUCCCACCUGCCCCUCGUAAUCACUAAUAAACUUUGGUCUCUAUGCAUUUGCCUAGUAUAGAUAUUUCAUAUAAGUAGGAUCAUACAAUAUGUGCCCUUUUGUGUCUGACUUAUUUCACUCAACAUAAUGUUUUCAAGCUUCAUCCAUCUCAUAGCACAUAUCAGGACUUUAUUUCUCUUUAUGGCUGAACAAUACUCAGUACAUAUAUGUAGUUGCCCUUUGGUAUUUGAGGGCGAUUGAUUCCAGGACCUCCACGGGUACCAAAAUGCAAGGAUGCUCAAGUUCCUUAUAUAAAAUGGCAUAGUAUUGGCAUAUAACUUAUGCACAUCGUCUUUAAAUCCUCGCUGGAUUACUUUUAAUACCUAAUACAAUGUAAAUGAUGUGUAAAUAGUUGUUAAUGCUUACACUUAAUGCUUUCUCAGUCUUUGCAAGCACUUUAUCACGAACCGGAAAGACCAUUUUUGCCAUUGUAGGGGCAGCACUAACACGUCCAUGAAUUUCAGCCUCUUUCUGAUUUAUUGUGUGAAUGCUCCAUUUGUUUUUACUGACCUUACAGCCCACUUCGGCAAGCAACAUGCCACUUUUUAAAAGAUCUAAGAUUUUUAUUUUCUUGUUGAGAGAUAACACUUUAGGCUCCCUCUUAGUCUUUGAAGGAUUGCUUGACUACUUCGUUGCUUUUUAGGAGCUAUUCUUUCAUAGAAACAAAGGGUGUACACAGCACAAGUAGCGAAUGAACUGAGGUGAACAAUGCUCAGACAAUGAAUGCUGGAGACACAGGAUAUGUGAAACGGCGGGAGGCUACAGCAGGGUGUGCCUACACAUCACUUAAUUCGAGUGGUUUCAGCUUAGUGCUUGGCGCUCUGCAAAUUCAAGUUUUGCAUACUGGAACUUUCUUUUUUCUUUCUGAAUAUUUUUGAUCUGAGGUCGGUUGAAUCCACAGAUGUGAAACCUGAAGAUACUGAGGGCCGACUGUACUACAUUUUAUCUGUUCAUCUAUUAAUGAACAUUUGGGUUGUUUCUUGGCUAUUGCAAAUAGUGCUGCAAUAAACAUUGUUGUAUAAGGAUGUUCGCCUCCCUGCUUUCAACUUUUUUGGGUAUAUACCUAGGAUUGAUGUUGCUGGAUCAUAUGGUAGUUUUAUGUUUAACUUUUUGAGAAACCACCAGACUGUUUUCCACAGCAGCUGCACCAUUUUACAUUCCCACCAGCAAUAGAUGAGGGUUCCAGUUUCUCUACAUAUAUGUCAACACUUGUUGUUUUCUGUUUUUCUGAUAAUAGUCAGCCUAGUGGGGGUGAGAUAUAUGUAUCUCUUUUGAAUCCCAAGAAACCACCCAGUCCUAGCUUGAGGUCCAAUAUACUGCUCCCUCUAUGCUAAACAGUGCCUUAGUGUGUGGGUGGGAGGCUUAUGCCAGAAAACACCUGGUUCAUUCCUUUAAUUUUGUCUGAGUAUCAUUUAAUGUCUUCUCAUCUUCCCCCUUUGCUCAUUUUACUUCCCCAUGUAUAUUUUUCCCACGUUAUUUUUUAACACAUUUUUAGUUCUAAUUUCUUGUUUGCCGGAAUUGAUCAGAAGCUUGAGGCUGAGUGACCAUUCAUUGAUUACUGAUUUCUCCCUGCCCAUGUGUUCACUGCAGGCUGUAGGAAGCAGGCUUGUUUCUCUUUGAAAGUGAUAGUUAGCCUCUGGCCUGGAUCAAUGUGUCCCCAUUACAAAAGUGAGCAGUUUCUUUUAUGAUUCUCUUUCAUGUUAACUUUUGGGCAUGAGACCCACAAGCUCUCUAUGUUGACAUCUAAUUGAACAUGGCAUCUAAUGCAAGAUGGCAGACCUAUUUUUUAGUGCCCAGUGUGGAAUGGGCUUUACAUAGCAGGUGAUGAUGUUAAACGUGUCCUGAGUCCUUUGGCUAGAGCUCAGCAGCCAAAAGGCCUGAGGAGUAUCCUGUCAACCGCUGGAGGCCCUUCAGCUCAUAAGUUCCUGAGAAUCAAGAAAGAUAGGAUUUAGAAUACCCUACUCUGGUUCUCUGCUUGCCUCCCCACUUGCUGAAUGAAUCUCAGCUUGCUUUCAUUACUGCUAGCACAGUAAAAAGGAGGUCAUGUUGAAAAAGCUAGGUCUCUGAGCUUGACUGUGAUUCCAUGUUUAAUCUGAGACAUGUCUGCCCUUUUGUCCUUCUCCUUUGCCCAGUACACAGCCAUUUUCGGCGUAUAACUCAUUUUAUUAAGGAGUGAGGGCAUUUUGAGAUACAACAUGCCAUCCGUACAAUUUCCCAUUAUUUGUCUCUGUUUAUUCAUGUCUAAAGAUACUAUGUGCUUCCAGUGUUCUGAUGGUUUCAGGCCCCAGCAAGACCCAUGAACUCUUUAGGUGGUGUGUGCACAAUAUCACUAAUGGCUUCACCUCGUGUGUCCUUGCUGAUUCUUUCCUUCCUGUGAUUAAAACCCUUGGCCAACUUCCUCUCACUUGCACGUACCCUGUCUUCCUAUAUAAAGCCUGUCUCAUCUCUCAGAUCGCGUCUCAUUCUUCCCUCUUCUUUUAUUCCUGAUCUCUAUCUCCAUAUUUUUAUGUUUGUCAUUCAUUCAUUCAUGCAGCUUUAACUGAACAUCUUCUAUGUGCCAGGCUGUAUGCUUGAGGCUGAGUGUACAGGGUUGAUCAGACACUGUCCCUGCCUUCAAGGUUCCCACUAUUCCUUACCUAGGAGCUAAGUAAGCAGGCAGGUGUCCAAGGUGGGGCUUGUUCUAAUGAUGCUGUGGACAAGGGGCAAUGGAAGCACUGGAGGUUGAGCAUAAGUCUGUCCAGGGGGUUGGGAAAGACAUCAAUGGUGAACUGCCCACCCUUAAAGGAGAAGUAAGAAUUUGCUAGGGGCAGGAACAAGAGGGCACACCAGGCAGAAGAAACAGCAAAUGCAGAAGCUGGAGGUAUAAACAGUGAGUCGUAUUUGUGAAGAAUAAAUUUGUUUGUUAAAGCCAUCCAUUUGGGUUAUUUCUGUUAUAGCAACACUAGAUAACUAACAGUAGGCUAGCAACGCUGCUCUUCAGAAAUCAAGGGGCAGAAGUCGCACUUGGAAAAAGUAGGCUGUGGCCACCUCAUGAAGACCCUUGUAUAUCAGAAUAGUAACAAUAGCUAACACUUAACAUGGUGCUUAUGUGUAAGACACUGAUCUGAACACUUUAUAGAUGUUAACUCAUUUAAUCCUUGUAACAACCUAAGAGGUAGGUACCGUUGUUGUCUCCAUUUUACAGAUGAAAAAACUGCGGCCUAAGAGGCUAGGAGACAAGGUCACACAGACAGCAGGGAGUAGAACCAGGGUUUGUAUCUUGCCCAGUCUGCUCCCCUAACUGCCCAGCUUUCUGCCUCUCACACUUUAUCAUGCAGGCCUUGAGGAACCAUAGAAAGAUGUUAAGUAAUGGGGAGUAGGACCCACAUUUUGUAAAGAUAGUUCUUUAUUUUUAGAGACAGUUGGAGACUUGAUGCAGGGAGACUGCUUAGAAGUCCCUGUAGUUUUUUGAAGGGAACCUGAUAGAAUAUUCCUUUAGAAACUUUUUCUCAGAAUUAUGUAUGCUGACAAAGCAUUCUCUUGUUGUUAGGUACCGUUGAGUUGAUUUGAUUUCUUGCUCAUAGUGAUCCCACGUGACAGAGUAGAACUGUCCAUAGGAUUUUCUAGGCUGUAAUCUUUAUGGGAGUAGAUCACCCGGUCUUUCUCCGGCAGAGGUGCUAGGUGGGUUUGAACUGCUGACCUUUAAGUUAGCAGCUGAGUGCUUAACUGUUGUGCCACCAGGCUCCUUAAAAGGCCAUCUAGAAUCUAUUUCUAAACCAACAUUAGUUUAUAACAAGGCCUGGUGGUGUAGUAGUUACGGCUGCUAACCUAAAGGUCAGCAGUUCAAAUCCGCCAGGCGCUCCUUGGAAACUCUAUGGGGCAGUUCUACUCUGUCCUAUAGGGUCGCUAUGAGUCGGAAUCGACUCGACAGCAAAUGGAGAGGGUGCUAAGAGAUUACAGAGUGUGAAUCUAUUUUGGGCCUCUCCAAAAUAGGAAAGGUUGCUCCCUGCGACCUACAGAUAUCUACAGGGUAGGGAUAAUUACAACAUGGCUAUGUGAUGGAACUGGAAAAUGAAAUAAAGAUACUGGAAAAUGAAAUAAAGAUACUGUAUAAUUAUUGUAAAUUUAGAUUCUUACUCAAAGAAGAAGGUUAUAUUUCUUUACAAAAAUUCCUCUUAUUGUGUCAGGAUUUCUUAAUUUUGGGAAUCUGUACCGAAGGAUAAUAUUUUCUUGGUUUCUUUCAAAGCUGGCAACUAAGGGAACUAGAAUAAUGUGUUAUUGAAUGUUGUAUUUCCACCUAUUUUUUUUUUUUUACACUAUUUGAGCUUCAAUUUGUGUUUAGUUACUACAAGUUUUCUCUUACUAAUACCUACAUUGCCUGGCCCUGUAAACCCUUUAUUAACAGGUUUGCGAGUCUUCAUUCCUGAGCAAACCUAGUUCUCCGUUUUCUCUGCUCCAAGUUCUGUUAUUAUGGAAUUGCUGUAAGGAAUACAGUACAUGAAAGGUAGUGAGUACACUUUCAGAUAUAUGGAGCUUGAGAUGCUGGUGGCACAUCCAGGGGCCAUGUAAGCAGGCACUCUACUAUGUCUACUCUCUACUUGGCCACAUAAGUAGGUGGUGGGAUGGGAGGGUCUAGUAUUUAGGAUUGACCUGAGGCUGGAGGCAGAUAUGGGUGUCAUCACCUAUGCCAGGAAGGAUAGGAUUGCCACAGAGAACAGAAGGCACAAGAAGAAGAGACCAAAGACAGAAGACCAGCCUAUCCUUUGUCUACUCUUGUCUAUGUUGAGAUGACAGAGUAAGCAAUAGAACCAAGAUUAAAAGAGAGCAUCUUACCCAGAGCUUAGUCCCAUUUCACUAUCUUUAUGUGCACAACAACAGUCACUAGAGCAGCAAGAAUGGGAUUUUAGUAGACAGGCUGAAAUAGAUAAGACCAGGUGUAGUAGCCACAUGGACCAAGAAUGGGAAAUCCAAAGGAUACUGAGAGGGCAUGGUUGGAAUGAUAAGAUGGGAACUAGGACAGAUUGGGGUUUUAGAAGUCAAGAGGAAGAAAGUUCAGGGAGUUGCAAGUGGUCAGUUAUUAGAUGCCAGAGGGUUCAAAGAUGAUUGAUAAGUGUCCACUGCAUUUGGCUUUUAGGAGGCCAUCACGACCUUUGCCAGAGUCCUUCUAGGUAAUGGUGGUGUGAAAUCCAAGAUGGGAUCCUUCUACCUUGCUCUCCUCUUAACUCUUGAAUCCUAGCCAUUCUGUCAGCCUGGACACUAUGCUUCUUUAUACCACCCUUUCUUACCCUUCAUCACUUCAGAACAUAACCUGAAGACUUCUCCUACACAUUUUAAAUGCCAGUAUUGGAGCCCAGACACCUCUAAUCCUCUGUCAGGAGGCCUCUUCUCAAAAUUCACAAGUAUCCUAAUUUUAAUAGAAAAAUUGGGUUUGUUUUUAAUUUCUGAAAUUCCAAACAUCCAAAAUGCUUGAGGAGUCAGAGUUUCCAGAAUUCUCUGUGGCUCUUGAAAUCUGAAUCUCAGGAAACAAGGAUUAGUGAACCUGGAGUCCUGGGGGAACUGUGGUCUCCAAGUCCCACAAUGUACAGUUCCUCUUAGGUUUUCUACCCGAACUCUCUUUUAAACCACUUCCCUGAUAAUCAGAGCUGUGAUGUUACUCCAGCUGUUUGUGAGUUAUUGCUGUUUUGUAAAUCCUACUGACAUUGAUUAAUAAUAAUAAUAACAGCUACCAUGUGUUGAAUGUCUACCAUCUUUGGGGCAUGAGACCAAGUGCUUGACGUACAUCAUCUCCUUUCACUCUUCCAAUCGCCUUAGGAAGUGAGUGGUAGUAACCUUUUCUGAUGAAUAGAAAAGUUUCUCAAAGCUAGUGGUUCUCAAACUUGAGCAUAUGUCAGAAUCACCUGGAUAGCUCGUUCUGACACUGAUUGCUGGGCUCCACCCCCAGACUUUCUGAGUCAGUAGGUCUGGGGUAGAGUCCAAGGAAUAGUAUUUCUAACAAGUCCCCGGGGGGAUGAGGAUGCUGCUGGCGUCCAGGACCACACAUUUGAGAACACUGCUCUUGUCACACAGCCAAGUGGCAGAAUAGGAUUCACCCCUGGGCCUGUCUGACUCCACAGGCGUGCUCUUCCCUUGUAGGAAGUGUGACUACUUAGGAACCUGCAAUAGAGAGAAGUCUGCUCACACCCAGGAUAGACUAAGGGCUUCCUAGGAGAUUCAGGUUAGCAGCAGGUGAGAUCGUGGCAUGGGUGGGUGUAUCAAGGCAAAGGGUGUGCUUAGGUGCAGGAAAUAAGGGAGAGCAUAUAAAAAGUUAUACAGAACUUAAAACAGUAAUAAAAUUGACUAAAAGUCAAUGUGGUUUUUAUUGUCUGUAUGUGUUGACAAUUCUGAAUAAUAUCAGUGAUAAACACUUUUCUCUCUGUUCCCCUGUCUACCAUUGCUUGGCGGCUAAAGAGAAAAAAGCCUAAACAGCCCUUUGUUGUUGGCGUUGUGGUUAACUCCAAAUUCAGGGACCUCACCUUCUCCUUCUGUUUUCCACACAUAUCUGGGCACUGGGUGUUUAAUCCACACCUAAUUGGUAAAUAUUUCCUCCUCCUUCUAGAUUUUGAUGCUAAAGUACACUAAUUUAAAAUAUUUAAGGGGACAAGCCAAAGACUAUAGAGAUACACAUCUGUUAGGUAAGUUUAACAGCAGUCCCUUCUCUGUACCAGACAGCAGGCCAACCACCUGACCCAUGUGGACUCAUUUAAUGCUCACAGUAACCUCCUGAGGUGGGUUCUGUUAUAUCAUUUUACACCUGAGGAAGGGAGAUGCAGAGAGCUUAAGUAACUUGCCCAAGGUCACAGUAAAUGGGCAAAGCCAGGAUUCACACCUGGCAGCCUUGCUCCAGAGCCCAAGCACUUAACCACUGUAUUAUACUGGCCCUCUGGCAUAUAAAAGCAACAACAACAAAACUAGUUGCCAUAAAGUUGAUUCCAACUCAUGGUGGUUCCAACUCAUUAAAAAACAAACAAACCAACCUAUUGCCAUGGAGCCAAUUCGACUCAUAGUGACCCUAUAGGACAGAGUAGAACUGCUCCCACAGGGUUUCCAAGGCUGUAGUCUUUUUUUUUUUAGUCUUUAGAGAAGCUGACUACCACAUCUUUCUCCCACGGAGCGGCUGGUGGAUUUGAACCACUGACCUUUCAGUUAGCAGUUGAGCACUUAACCACUGCACCACCAGGGCGCCUCCAACUCAUAACCCGACCCUGUUACUGUCAAGUCGAAUUCCAAAUCCUAGUGACCGUGUAGGACAGAGUAGAACUGCCCCGUAGACUUUCGAAGGAGUGGCUGGUAGAUUCAUACUGCUGACCUUUUGGUUAGCAGCUGAGCUCUUAACCAUUGCGCCACCAGGGCUCCAGCUUGUAGUGAGUGCUUAAUAAGUGCACAUUGGAUAGAUAGCUGCUGUUGCAUCGACUUCAGCUUAUGGUGACUUGGUAUGUACAACAGAAUGAAAUGUUGUGCAGUCCUAUGUCAUCCUUACAAUUGCUGGCAUAUUCAAGACUGUUGUGGCUAUGGUGCCAAUCCAUUUCACCCUUGCUGGCCCUCUGCUUCACCAAACAUGAUAUCGUCCAGCGAUUGAUCCCUUCCUGAUGACUUGUCCAAAGCAAGUGAGUUGGACAAUGUUUUGUUGUGACCGAUAAGGUUUUCACUGGCUGACUUUCAGAGGUAGACUGCUAAGCCUUUCUUCCUAGUCUUAGUUUGGAAGCUCUGCUGAAACCUAUCUACCGUGGGUGAGCCUGCUUGUAUUUAAAAUACAGGUGGCAUAGCUUCCAGCAUUACAUCAGCAUGCAAACCACCAUAGUAUGACAAAAUGACAGACGAGUGAUGGUUACAAUGGAUGGUCAAAUGAAAACAGGCUUACAUGGUGCAAGCAGGCCAGGGAGCCUCAGUCACCAAUCCGAGCAGGGCAUUCUGUGGGUCACUGGCAAUACUCAAGUGGUUACUCCCAGUCCACUUAAACCCAGUCCACUUAGGGUGGUAGAAAAUCCCUCUUGGCUACAUCACGUCCACUGUAAUGAAAUGCGCUUUCCCUUGAGGGAGUGGUUAUUGGUAUUUAUAGAGCCUCUUAUAGCCGAAGGCCUCCAGAAGCAACAAUUACCUCUCUAAUCCUUUUAGCAUCUCCCUGAAAGAGGGAAGUGAAACAUACAGCUUGUUUCUGCUUCCUGUCUUUUCUUCUCCCCACUCCUGCCCCACUACGGUUUACCUGUAGCACAUAGUAUCAAGGUGGGAAGAAAAGAGGGGGGAUUUAGAGGGAAUUUUUAGUCAUUUAUUAAGGAGGCCUGGUGGUGCAAUGGUUAAGCACUUCUACCCAAAGGGUUGGUGGUUCGAACCUAUCCAGUGGCUCGGUGGGAGAAAGACCUGGUGAUCUGCUCCCAUUAGGAUCAUAGCCUAGAAAACUCUGUGGGGCAGUUCAGCUCUGUCACAUAGGGUCGCUAGGAGUUGAAAAUCAACUCAGUGGCACCGAAAAACAAGUCAUUUAUUGCAAGUCAUGUUCUGAGCAGAGUGGAAGUGCCGGGCUGCUUGUGAGGGCCUUGAGGUCAGCGCGCCUGCUAUUCCACUUUUUUUUAAUAUCUGGGAGCUAAAUGGAGAAAUAACCUUCUUCCUCCUAAAGAAAUCUCACCAGGCACUUUUCACUAUUCUCCUUAUGAGCGAGGAAAGAAAGUUUGAAUAAUAGAAUUCUCUUUUUUUCUCAAGCAGUGAAUUCUUCUGUCUUGGCAGCUACAGUGUUCAAGAUAAGUUAUGCAGGGGAACAGCACAGAAAAUGGAAAGAGAUGAGGUCUGGAAAACUUUUAUUCAUUGCUAGUGGGUUUUUCCAUAUGUGUGUAUAUAUUACACACAUUUGCAUCUAUGCCUGCUUCAACAGCAGCCUAUUGGGCACGUCGCCAAUAGCCCUGAUUGUGACUGGCUUUUGUUAUGCAUGUGUAAUUGAAUUCAGUGAUAGUACCUGAGGAUAUACUUACUGCAAAGAGAUAAGGUUAAUUUUGGUCAUCCGGAGGAACAGACCAAGGGAUGCCGUGAUAGUGCUGGCGAGUUCCUUGUUUAUACCAGUGUUUUCUGUUACUAAGGGUAGAAUAAAGCCUAGAUAAAUAAGAUCUGCUAUUGCCGGCCUUCAGGAAAUUUGCAGAUGUUAGGAGCUCCUAUUUCAGGAUUGUUAAUAAUCCUUUCCUGCCCAGUGCUAGCUAAGUGUACAAGAGACAUAAUGCAGUUAGAGAAAUACUCUUAGCUUCCUGGGUUUUGUUUUUUCUUCAUUAUAAUAUCUGGCUGGAUUAGCUUCCUCCUUUAAAGGUUGGUGGUUCAAGUCCACCCAGAGGCGUCUUAGAAGAAAGGCCUGGCAAUCUACCUUUGAAAAAUCAACCACUGAAAACCCUGUGGGGUACAGUUCUACUCUGACACAGAUGGAGUUGCCCUGAGUUGGAGUCGACUCAAUGGCAAAUAGUUUUCUUUUCUUUCUGCCAUUAACCAUUCUCUGCUGGGCCACAUCCCUGUGUAUGUGAAGCUGGGUGAGGCCCCCCCAUUUCCAGUUUCUGGGAGACUUCAGUCUGUCUUUGUCGAAGGACCAUCAUUCAGCAUUCAGUCUCAUGCUUUCUUUCUUUUUAAUGAGCUGAUGUCAUACCUGGUGAACAGGUGUUCAAGGCUGAUGUUCCCAGCCAAGGUCUGGCCGCCUGAAAAAGGCAGAUCCGAGUUGGCAUUCUGGGUGCUUCAUCUAUGCGCCUGUCACCCAUGAGCUUUGAAACAGGAAAGACAUGAAUAUUGUACCAGCUGGGUUCUGAGCUCUGGCUUCACCCCAAGGCGUCAACCUCUCUCUUCUUCCGGCCCCAGCACUGCAGUUCCUGCUCCUCCCCCUCCUCUCCUUCAGUACUUUCUCUGUGGCCAACAAUAUCCAGUCACUUUCCCCUUUCCUCGUUUCACCUCCAGAUACAGAAAAUGUAUUAAGUAUGUGUUAGGAGAAAGGAAGGGCCAAUUAAAGAAGAUUCUGGAAGAAAACAGGAAGAAGGAAGCAUGAGUUAAGGACUUUAAAAAUCGGUCACACAAUGAUUCUACCUCCUUCCCUACAGGAAAGCAAAGAUAGGAGACUGAGAGCUGUCAUUAUCCUCCACUUAACGACAGGAGAGCGCCAGAGUUCUUGUAAGUGCCAGGAAAGUCAGGGAGCUGCUGGCAGCUGAGCUCACUGGUUCUUCCGAGACAGCCAGUAGACGCUCAGUGCCAGCGGGGACACGGCCGAGGAUGCCAGUUGGGGAAAUUAGCUCGGGGUCGGAUGAGCUCAUACAAGGGGACCACUGUGCUGUGGAAAUAGUGACUCCCCUGGCCUCAGAUCAGAUGAGGAAAAGAUUUUCCAGGAGGUGGCUCAUGGAGUGAAGCCUGGUUUGUGGCUUUCUUCAGAUGUUCUCCAGGUUUCUAACAUGUGUCAUGCGGCUCCAAUAAAGAGGCCGUUCUACAGCUGCAUCAGUGGUAACAGUGAUGGCCGGGGCUGGAUGCUGCCCAUGGAGCUAGGUGUGAGAAGGGGGAAUCGGGCUAAGUCCUUUGUGUGCCCAGCGGAAAUCUGUUUCCUUAUUGACUUCUUCCUUUCUUCUCGUAUCCUAGCCUUUUCUAUCACCAAUUACCAUCUAGGUGGAAAGCUUUGCUUUUCAGAUUUGUGUGCAGAGCACAGGCAAGCGAAGAGAAACCUUGCUGAAAGAAAUGUCGUUAUAGCAUUUUGCAUGUUUUCAUUGCUACCAACACAGGCAUUUCUAAGGAAGAAUGCAAACACGCCCGAAAUAGAAUGCAUUAGUAAGUGUAACUGAGGAGGGAAGUAUAUUUUUAGCAAAUAUGGCUAAAGCAGAUUACUGCUGUGAGGAGUUUUUUGGCUUUAACAAAAAGAAGUUUAUUUUGUCAAAGUUUAGGAGGCUUUGUUAGGUGCCAUUGAGUUGAUUCUGACUCGUAGUGACCCUAUGUACAACAGAACGCUGCCUAGUCCUGCAACAUCCUCACAAUCGUUGCUAUGUUUGAGCCCAUUGUUGCAGCCACUGUGUCAAUCCAUCUUGUUGAAGGUCUUUUUUUGUUGACCUACCACCUUACCAAGCAAUAUGUCCUUCUCCAGGGACCGGUCCCUCCUGAUAACAUGUCCAAAGUACGUGAGAUGAAGUCUCUCUGACCUUGCUUCUAAGGAGCAUUAUGGCGGUAUUUCUCCCAAGACAGAUUGGCUCUUUCUUCUGGCAGUCCACAGUAUAUUCAGUAUUCUUCACCAACACCAUAAUUCAAAGGUGUCAGUUGUUCUUUGAUCUUCCUUAUUCACCGUGCAGCUUUCGCAUGCAUGUAAGGCAAUUGAAAACACCAUGGCUUGGGUCAGGCAUGCCUUAGUCCCCAAAGCGAUAUCUUUUUAAUACUUUAAAGAGGUUUUUUGCAGUAGAUUUGCCCGAUACAAUACAUUGUUUGAUUUCUUGACUGCCGCUUCCACGGGCGUUAACUAUGGAUCCAAGUAAAAUUAAAUCCUUGACAGUUUCAGUCUUUUCUCUGUUUAUCAUGAUGUUGCUUAUUGGUCCCACUGUGAGGAUUUUUGUUUUCUUCACAUUGAAGUACAAUCCAUAUUGAAGGCUGUAGUCUUUGAUCUUCAUCAGCAAGUGCUUCAAGUCCUCUUCACUUUCAGCAAGCAAGGUUGUGUCACCUGCUUAUUGCAGGUUGUUAAUAAAUCUUCCUCCAAUGCUGAUGCCCUGUUCUUCUUCAUAUAGUCUAGCUUCUCUAAUUAUUUGCUCAGCAUGCAGUUUGAAUAGGUAUGGUGAAAGGAUACAACCUUGAUGCUCACCUUUGCUGAUUUUAAACCAUGCAUUAUCCCCUUGUUCUGUUGAAACUGACUCUUGGUCUAUGUAUAGGUUCCUCAUAAGCACAAUUAAGUGUUCUGGAAUUCCCAUCCUUCGCAAUGUUAUCCAUAAUUUGUUAUGAUCCACACAAUUGAAUGCCUUUGCAUAGUCAAUAAAACACAGGUAAACUCUGCUCUUCUCUGCUUUCAUCCAAAAUCCCUCUGACAUCAGCAAUGAUAUCCCUCAUUCCACGUCCUCUUCUGAAUCCAGCUUGAGUUUCUGACACUUUCCUGUCAAUGUACCGCUGUGAAUGUUUUUGAAUGAUCUUCAGCAGAAUUUUACUUGCGUGUGUUAUUAAUGAUAUUGUUUGGUAAUUUCCACAUGCUGUUGGAUCAACUUUCUUUGGAACGGGCACAUAUAUGGAAUUCUUCCAGUCAGUUGGCCAGGUUGCUAUCUUCCAGAUUUCUUGGUGUACAGGAGCAAGUCCUUCCAGCGCUGCAUCUGUUCGUUGAAACAUCUCAUUUGGUAUGCUGUCAAUUCCUGGAGUCUUGUUUUUCACCAUUACAUUCAGUGUGGCUUGAACUUCUUCCUUCAGCACCAUCAGUUGUUGAUCAUAUGCUACCUUCUGAAAUGGUUGAAUGUCAUCAAUUCUUUUUGGUACAGUGACUCUGUGUAUUCUUUCUAUCUUCGUUUUUGAUGCUUCCUGUGUCGUUCAAUAUUUUGCACAUAGAAUCUUUCAAUAUUGCGACUUGAGGUUUGAAAUUUUUCUUCAGUUCUCUCACCUCGAGAAAUGCGGAACGUACUCUUUCCUUUUGGUUUUCCAAUUCUAGGUCUUCGUACAUUUCAUUGUAAUACUUUAUUUUCUUGAGCUGCAACUUUGAAAUCUUUUGUUCAGCUGUUUUACUUCAUCGUUAGGAGGCUAGAAGUUUGAAUUUAGGGUGCUGGCUCUAGGGGAAGUCUUUCUCUGUUGGCUCUGGAGGAAAAUCCUUGUCUCUUCUGAGCAUCUGCUCCUGGACAGUCUUCUUGUGGCUUGGCAUCUCUCUUCCCCCAUCUCUGUUUCUUAGCUUGCUUGUUUAAUCUUUUUUUAUAUCUCAAAAGAGAUUGACUACACCCUACACUAAUUCUGCCCCAUUAACAUAACAAAGACAAGCAAUUCCCAAAUGGGAUUAUAACCACGGGUAUAAAAAAAAAAAAAAAAUCAUUGCCAUGGAGUUGAUUACAACUCCCAGCGACCCUAUAGGACAGAGUAGAACUGCCCCGUGGGGUUUCCAAGCCUGUAAAUCUUUAUGGAAGCAGGCUGGCACAUUAUUCUCCCAUGAAAGUGGCUGGUGGGUUCGAACCACUGACCUUUCAGUUAGCAGCAGAGUGCUUCAGCCACUACACCACAAGGGCUCAUAGAGCUUAAGAAUUAUAACACGUAUUUUUGGGGGACACAAUUCAAUCCACAACAGUGAGUGAGACUAAAAUGAGGGAAGGGCAAAGCUUGGACGGGGUGGUGUUGAGGAAUGUGGCUGCUUGGAUGGGGUGGUGUUGAGGAACGUGGCUACCUCCCAGCUGUCCUCUGGAGCUGAUGAUGGGGCUGCGGGGUCAUGUCAUAACUCCUGGAAUAGUCAGGGCUUCUGGAGGAUGCUGAACUGGCUUUAAAGACCCUGUUCUCCAGCUCCUGCCUGUUGUAGGCAUAGGUAGCACAGCUGUGGUGAACCCUGUGGCUGGAGCCCAGAAAGGCAAAUGGUGCCCCCACCCCCUAACAUGGCUGCUGUCAUUCACCUCUCUAGAUUGAGGACAAGAAGGCCUGGUUAAACGAAGCUGGUUACCUUAAAGGAAGUCAAGGCACUGGUUAGUGGAGCUGUGAGUCCAGCAGGAACCCUGGAGGGAAGGCAGGAACUUGGGUUUCAGCUCUGUGCCUGCCAGAUUGUGGCACCUGUGCCAAAUCAACUCACAACUCUCUUUAAUUCAGUUUCUUUAUCUGUGGACAGGGAGUGUUAAUAUUUCCUCAGGGAACCUUGAGUCCAGACAAGGUCACCGAUAAGGGAAGCCUUGAAAAUUUGAAAGAAAAUUGAUAAAGAUGCCAAGAUGUAAUCUUAUUUUUCCCCUGAAGAUUAACUAAGGUUUAACACUGAUAGCGAUAUGAGUAUGUCUCAGCCACUUGUAAAGACAUUAUUCACAGUAGAACGAAGUUCAACCCAAGGUGAACCAUUCUGGUAUCCAUCUGGGGCUCUGGCUACCAGAUUACCGGAUUAUAAAGCAGUUUCUCCACCGAGGAGUCCCAUGUUUGGGACGCCAACACGCUUGUUCUGACGUCUCUGGCCGGGCCAAGUGCCUUCUGGGAUCCGCAGCCUCGCGUACAUCCCUGACACCCCUUCCCGUAGGCUUUCUUGCAGAAAACGGCCAUCGCCAUUCACCCAGGCCUCCAAAUCAGAGACCUUGAAGUCUGCCAAGUAAAAUCUUACAUUGCGACCCAGCCAUAAUGCCACCUUCUUUCUUACAGGGUUCUAAAAGAAGGCACGAACGAGCAGAGUAGUAAAGUUCGGAGUCUCUCACAGUGUACUCUGUGCCGUAGGCGGUGGGCCAGAGAAUUACAGAUGUGAGGGCCUUACUUUUAGGAAAUUCAAUGCAUGGCAAUUUAAACCUAUACAAAAGUGAAAGCCAUGAGCUAAUUUUUAAUCAUUUUAAAAUAUGAUUUCACAAGUUUCCUUUAAUUACCAAGUUCUUAAUUUUAAUUGGAAAAUUUUUGAUUUAUACUAACCUUUUCGGGAAUAUGUGGAUUACUUCAAAUAUACUACCCCUCUACUGUUUUUUUGUUUUUUUUACUGUCAGCCUCGAAUGGCAUACAAGUGAGUGGCCUUAUUGAUCAAUUCAUGAGGUUUAUAAUCUGACUUGUUUCCUACACUGUUCUCCAACAAAUGGCAUGGAGCUGCCCUGUGGCAGAGAGAGCUUUGGUUGAUUUGUACUUUUUUGUUUGUUUUUUCGGGUUUGAUUUUAUUGAGUUGACUCUAAAGUUGUCUUUGAGUUCUUUUCUAGUCCUUCAGUGCCUGUAGCGAGCCGCGGCUCAUCAUUGCAAUGACAUAUAUCCCAGACAAAAGGCUCCAAGUAACUGGCGUAAUUUCUGAUGGAUCCUAUAAGGUGCUCCUAUCAUUAGGAAGCUGUAUCAGGCCCAAAACAGUUCUGAACAGUUAGUAGUGGCACUGAGAUUUUCUCUGUGUUCUAACAGUAGAAUUCUGUGUUCUACUGAGACCCUUUGCAGUGUCCAGCAAAUGUCAAUAAUAUCUGAAAUGGAAAGUGUGAAUUAACCACACUGCAAAAAUAUCCACUUAAUAUAUGCUUAUUAAAUAAUAAAACAAAGCUUAUGGGCUUAUGGCCUCUCCUUUGUUGUUUUGACAACCUUAGCAUUUCAGGAUCUCAACAGGACGACUUCUGUUGAUGAAUGCAAGCCUGGGAAAUACCCUCUCCUAGGCCCUCUGAAGAGGCAACAGUGGUUCAGUGGUAGAAUUCUUGCUUUCCCAUCUGGGAGAUUCCCGGCCAGUGUACCUCAUGCACAGCCACCACCUAUCUGUCAGUGGAGGCUUGCGUUUUGCUAUGAUGGCGAAUAGGCUUCAGCGGAGCUCCCCGACUAAGGCAGAUUAGGAAGAAAGGCCUGGUGAUCUAUUUCCAAAAAUCAGCCAGUGGAAAACCUUAUGGAUCACAACUGUCUGAUCUGCAAACUCUCAUGGUGAUGGUGCAGGACUGAGCAGCAUUUUCUUCCAUUAUGCAUGGGCUAGCCAUGAGUUGGGGACCUGCUUGAUGGCAGCUAACAACAACAACAACAACAGCCUCAGGAAGUCUCUUUCCCAAGCUGCCCUCCUUAUCUGCUUGAAUUCUCAUGACAUCAUUCACUUUAAGGUGGUAGUGACUGGUAACUUAGUAUUAUGCUUCAUAGAGUUGGAAGUCUGUAAUAAAGUUUCCAGUGUUAACCAUUUAAUGGGCGUGGAUUUUUUUCUCUGAGGAUGGGGGCUUUCUAAGCCACCUGAAAUCAUAGAGGUGGGUGCCAAAAUCAUGUGUGUGUUGGUGGUUAAAUCCACCCAGUGGCUCUUCCACAGGCCCGGGAUGAGUGUGAUAUGAGAAAAUGGCUUUCUCCUUAGAGUGUCUUCUAUAGAGCAUGAAAUGAAGGGUCAACUCGAUUUAUCAGACCACAACAGUAAGCAGUGGCUCUACAGAAUGCAGGCACAAAAGUAGACUUUUUUUUGAUAGAGACUCUAACCAGUUGCCAUGCAGUUGAUUCUGACUCAUGGCGAUUCCAUUUGUGUCAGAGUAAAACUAAGCUCCAUAGGAUUUUCAUUGGCUGAUUUUUCAGAAGUAAAUCACCAGGACUUUCUUUUGAAGGGCCUCUGGGUGGUCUUGAACUUCCAACCAUUCCAUUAGCAGCCAAGAAUGUAACCAUUUGCACCACCCAGGGACUCCAUUAAAAAAAAAAAAAAACCAAA